AGCUUUCUUGGAAUUACUGGGAGACACAGAGAUUGAGAGGGAAGCUAGCUUGUUUUGUUUUUGUUCUCCAUUCUUCUGGAGGACCAGAAUGGCAUCACUCUGUUGGGGGAAAAUUAGAGUGUGCUUGUCUGUGGCUGAUCAGGUGAAUACAAGCUCAAAGGCUCUACCAUAGGAGUCAGAGAGAGAGAGUAGAAAGGCCUUGUGGUCUUGGGGUGGGAGAAGAAAGUUAGAGGGAAUAGGGCAUCAUUGAAAGGUGAGAUAGAAAGAUGAGCCAGCUGAUAAAGCAAGUGAUAAGUAUAUGUCUGUCCCAGAGCUACAUCUGUCCAUGGUAUGAUCUUUGAUGUCUUGGGGAUCAGGGUAUAGAUUGUGAUUUCUAUUUGUUAUCAUCAUUUAAAAUGAGGCCAUUCACUUAAAGUGCUUAAGCCUCUAUCAUUAAAUGUAGCUGGACUCAAUGACCUCUAAGGUUCUUCUGAGCUCUAAAUCUAUGAUGACAUCAGUGAUGUCAAGAAUAAGAAAAUGCCAGUUAGUAUUGGGUGGGAAUGUAAGCCAGGAAAAUAAUGCUCUUCAGGAAGAAGGAGAGGGUGAAAAAGACGGGCUAGAGAGGGAAAGAGAAUCAGAAGAAGGGAGGGUGAAAUGUAGAAAUAAAAUCAGAGAGAUGCCAAGGCACAGAAACAGAUAAUCAGAUACAGAGGCAAUGAAGGAGACCCAAGACAGAGAAAGAGGAAAACAGAGAAAUAAUAGAGAGAAACUUUGAGCAAAGAAAUGAGGGAAGAGACUACUUUGUAGGACAGAGAGGCAUUCAGCAAGGAGAGAAAAAGAUUUAAAAGGCUAGGACCUUGGGAAAGUAUAAUGGUGAUGGAGAUGCCAUCAUGGUUAAAGCAUUAUUAUUGGAAUUGUCUGAGUGUCAGUACCAUAUUGAGUGUUGAUUAACUUUCUUCCUGUGAGCAAUAUUUAAGGAAAUGAACAAAAAAGAGAUGAGAAAGGUGAAAGAGAGAGAACAGAAGGAACAGUUGAAAAUGAAUGGGAGGUAGCUAUGAGGUGCAAUGGAGAAAGAAGGGCUUAGACCUAGAAUCAGGAAGAUAUCUUUUCCAAACAUGUCAGUGUCAAUAAGCCUAAAGCCCCUAUGUCUCUGAGACCUUGCUCAUGGCUUUCAACUCUAUCUGCCUCAGUUUCCUCAAGGUUAGGAACAGACAAAAGCCUUAGCACUUCCUGCCGAGCAGUAUUCUGAUAGGUUUCUAAGGAGAGAAGAGUGACUGAAGAAGCAACUAAGAAAAAAGUGAGAGUAGAGGCAUGGACAGGGGAUUCCACAGUAAGGUGGAAGGGUCCGUAGAGACAGACAGGCCCAGAGAAGGGAAGCAGAAAACCCAGAUUUGACACAUACACACUCUCUAAGCAUAAAGGGAAAAGGAAAAGGAAAAAGAUCUCUUGAUAAUUGGCUGAAGAGUGAGAUAAUGUAUUUGGGAUGGAAUGAUACAGGUGUACUUAGAAAAGGUAAAAGAGAGCAACAAAGGGAGUAGAUCUGGAGAGGUGGCAGAGGGGGCAGAGCUGAACUGUAGUAUGGAAUGGGAAACAUGUUGAGAGUGAGACCUUGUUAAGGUUGAAUGCCUUCUCAUUAAUCCACAAGGUAUGUCAAGGCAGACAAGACAAGCAUUCUCAGCCAUGGCUUUCUCUUCUAUCAUAUGAUGUUAUCAACAGUAUUUUUUUUCUACUGCCAUUGCAGUAGGACCUGUCUCUGUUUCUCUGACAGAUGGAAGGAAGAGAGAGUCUUUAGGAUAGGGCAGAGUAUGGGACAAUCAAGAGGAGGCAGCCAUAGUGGAGAUAAGUUGUGAAGCAUCUUGGGAUGGAGAGAAGAAGCUAGAUCUCCUAGGAUAAAAUUUGGAAAACUGAGCAGAUGAUUUGGAAUGUUCUUUCUCAAACGAAUAUGCAAAGAAUACUGAAGAAAUGCUUUUAAUAGCCUCACUCUCAGCAUCUGAGGUUCUGAAAAGAUGAAGUGGAACUUAGUGGCCCCUGAGGUUCUAUCUACCUCAAAUUCUUUGACAAAACUAGCUUGGACAAGAGGCAAACAUGGAUAGAGAGAAAAGAAGGUAAGAAGGUCAACAGGUAGAUGGAAUCAGUGGAAGGUUGAAAAAGACAGAAACAGAGAGAUAUAGAGAAACAAAUAGAGAGAUCGAGAGGGGAAACAGAUAGAUAAAGGAUGAGAGAUAGGGGUAUGGGGGGGAGACAGAGAGAGACAGAGAGAAGGAAGGAGAAAAUCCUGAGAUAGAGGACAUUCAAAUUAAUGAUCAUUUUCAGUUUAAUGGCAAUUAAAAUUGAAGAUCUCCAUUGUAGUGGGGUUAGAAAUUCAUGAAGGUGGAUGGGGUUGACACAAAGGUAUUACAAUGGUUAGGGUCUUGGAACUACAGUCAAAGAGGCAUCAUUCCCAAUUAUUUCAAUUACAAGUAACCUAAGCCCCAAUAAAACCCACAUCGAUCAUAUAAACAUUAUAUGACUCUGUUACCUUAAGGGAAAAAUGGGAAAAAUGACAGCACCCACUGCUAAGUGUGUUUGAGGAUACAAUGAGAGAAUAAUUAUAUUGUUUUUAUUCUAAUUCUUGCAGUUUAUAUGCCCUUCAGAAAUACUCCUCUUUUUGCUUUUCUCCCUCCACGAAGUAAUAAGGAUCAGUAAACUAUGUGGAAGCUUAGAGAUUGAAACUUGUGAUAGUAUUAGUGCCUGGGAGAACAAAUAAAUGUCAGCACCCAUUGGUGGGAUUAACAGCCAGGGGAUCCAUGUAUAACUAGUGAAGAGCCACAGAAGAAAGACAUUGCCAUGGAUAGAGGAAAAUCGAGCCUUAAAUACAGGAAUCAAGUGUCAAUUUUAAAGCAAGUUAGAUCUGGAGCAAAGAGAGAUUUGGAUAUAGAGAAGAGGCAGAAAGAGCAGGAGAGAUUCAGAGAUAAGGAAUAUACCUUGUCCAUGACUUUGAACUCUUAUCUGUCCAAGUUUUUACAAGUUUAAUUGCAGACAAAGACUUUAGCACCUGCUGCCAAACAGUAUCCUGAUAGGUUUAUCAGGAGAGAAGAGAGACUGAAGAAGCAACUGAGAAAAAGGGGAGAGUGGAAGCAUGGUCAGAGGAUUCCAGAAACCCAUAUUUGUGUCAUAGAAUGAAUUUGCACCUUCCUGAUUGGGGGAACUCGAUGCGCCUGUGAGGCUCCCGAAGAUGCUCUCGCUCCCAGUGGCAUAUUCCAUGAAGAUGAUUCAAAGUCUGAAAAUGAUUCUUCUCAUCGAAAGAAAGAGAAAAGUGUAUGAAGGAAGAGCAGGAAGUUCUGAUCACCUCUGCUAAGUGAAAUUAGAAUCGAGUAGUUUAACCUUCUUUCUGUCAUCCAUUGAAACUGUCCCAUCUACCUGGAGCAGUAUUUUAUAAGUGUUCCAGUGCAAUCUGCAAAAUGUCAGAUUCCAAGAGAGCAGAAAACCUCUUCAUUUCUAGAGAAUUCCUCCUCAUUUUGGAGCCUGUGUAGGAUCUCCCGUUAAGAGGUGUCAACCUUUGUCUUGAAGACUGCUUUGGAUGCAUCUCUCAAAUUCAGUCAUCAAUGUCCAGUGGCAAGAGAAAAGACAAGAGGAUGGUGAUCGCCUGGGAUGCCGUGGAUGACUUUCACAUCUUCAAUGUUUGACCAAGUUCUAAAUGCUCUAUUUCACCUGCUUCAGCCACCUGUAUGGUCACUGAAGUACCCAGGUCUUAUCCUCCCAUUCCCUGGGCUGUGGGCAGAAAGUGAUAGAUCAAAUACUAUAGAUAGUAUAAGAUUUAGAGUAGGAUUUAGAAAGAUUUGAGUUUGAAUUCUGAUUCACAAACCUUUUAGGUAUGCAACCCUAUAAGUCACUUAUACUUUCUAAACCUCAGGUUCUUCAGGCUCUAAAAUGUUGGGAAUGGACUCAGUGGCUCAUAAUAAUCCUUGCACUUUCAAAUUCAUGAUUAUAUUGGUGAUGGAGAGAGAAGAAAAGGCUAUUUAGUAUUUGGGUAGAAGGAAAGCAACUGCGAGAGAGUAAAAUAUCUUCUAAGGAGGGAGGGAAUAAAAGGGAGAAAAGAAUGGAGAGAGAAUGGGGAUGAAAAGUGAUUGUAUAAUGUAAGUAGAGUAAAAUUUAGACAUAUCUGAGAUUGAACUCUACUUCAGAAACCUUCUACCACAUAAGUCACUUAUAUUUUCUAAACUUUCGAUCCUUUAUUUCUACGAUGUUGGGAAUAGACUCGUUGUCCCUAAUAUUCUUUCCAUUUCUAAAUACAUAAUAAUAUUAGUGAUGGAGAGAGAAGAAAAGUUCAUUUAGUAUUUGGAUAGAAGGAAAUUAAUAGAGGCAAAUACCUUGUAUUGACAGAGAGAAGGAAAGAGGGGAAUAUGCAGGAGGUGAGGGCAGGGUAAGAGAGAAGAAGACAAGGGAAUGGAGAGAGAGCAUGAGCAUUAUGGAGAAGAAUGAAUAAUAGAAGUAGGAGACCACAGGUGAGGGAGAAAUUGGAAGGUAAAGGAUAACUUAGUCUAGUGGGGAGAGGCAGCUGUGUCUCACAAUGGAAAGAGAGCUGAACUUGGAGUCAAGACAUUUGUGAUAGAAACCUGACUCACAAUGACAAGCUUUGUUACUCUGGGCCAUUCAUUUAGACUCUCUCAACCUCACUUUCCUCUUCUGUAAAAGAAUGGGACUAGACUCCAUGGCCUCACUGAUGAAGACUUUAGAAUCCUUCAUAAAUUGGAUUUAAGGGAGGUACUAUUGUGCAAAGACAUCAACCUCACUCUAGUUUCCAGAGUCGUUGAUGUCCAGGAAAAGAGAAAGGUGAAGACUAUAGUUAUGGUCCUUGAUGCAGUGGAUGACCUUGCCUUCGUUGAUAUAUAACUAAGCUGGAAGAAAUGCACAGUGCCAGAUUCUGCUGCCUCUAUGACUGUUGCAAGAAAUUGUACUAAUCCACCACUUCUGCCAGGAAAAGUCUUCACAUGCCUGGGAUUGAUAUCCCCUAACUCAGUGAUGAAUUUGAGGUCUAUUGAUUACCCUCAAUGUGAGUUAGCUAGCCUAGUGAGAAAAUUUACUGGGGUAUUUCUACAGCUUCUGGUAGGCACAGAUGAAGCCUACAUGGCACAUGGACACAAAUGAGGAAAGCAUAUAAGAAAAGGAAUAGGCAAGCCCUUAUAGUACAGAAGUACUAGACUUCCCUGAAUAUCCCUAUACCUCCUAGGAGGCAGAUAAGUAUAAUUUGGUAGAGUUUUCAGUUGGAGUCAGAACUCCCUUGAGUUUGAAUCUGAAAAUCAACUAAUGAAAAGUUGUUUUAGCUCAGGUGAGACACUUAACUUGUCUCAGCCACAAUUUUCUCUUCUGUAAAACAAUGGGCCUGGACUCAGCGGCCACUCUGAUCUUAAGGAUGAGAGGGAGAGUAAGAAAACCCAUUUAGAAUUUAGGAUUGAGAAAAGAGUGAUGGGUUUAAGGAGAAUAGUCAAUUAAAGAAGAAGGAGGUAUAGAGGGAAGGGACCCUUGGGAAUGGGAUUUAUAGACAAUUUAUCUAGGGAUACAAUUAAGUCUCCAUGUUUGUAAAGUAUUGUUGUUAGGAGUUAAUAAAAGACCAUAGUUCAAAUCCUUCCUUGUAAAUAUUCUUGCUGGAUGUGAGGCCCUGAGCAAGUUCAAGUGUCUAAGAAUUUUUUCUGCCCUAAAAUGAUAUACUUGGACUCAGUCCAUUCCAGCUCUAAUUUUAUGAUGACUACUAAUAGCAAUAAAAAGAUGACUUACUAAAUGUGAGGAAGAGCAAGGCAAAAUACUUAUGAGGAGAAGAGAGAGAAAAAGGGAAGGGCUUCUGGAGGCCAGAAGAAAGGCUGGGUGAAAGGAAAAGGACAGGUGGGCCUGUGGGGAUAGUGAGUCAGAUGGGCAGGUAUCUAAAUUAAUGCAAAAUUGCUUUUACAUGAAGUUGGAAAAAAUAAAAUAUUACAUGAGGAAAAAAAGAUGAAGAGCAAUGGGGUUUGGGCACAGUUUGUGAAAAGAUAUAAAUAAGUCUCCAUGUUUAUAAUGCAACAAUCUUGGGAGUCCAUAAGACCUUAGUUCAAAUGCUUCCUUGUUCAUAUUUUUACUAGAUAUGCGACUGAGGGCAAGUCACUUCAAGCAUCUAAGCCUUUUUCCCCCUAAUGCCCAAAAUGUUGAACACCUAGAGUUCCUUCUAGCUCUGAUUCUAUGAUGAUAUUGAGCAAGAAAGAGAACACCCUACUUUCUAGAUGUGAGGGGGAGAGCAAGGCAAAAGACUUGCAAGGAGAAAAGGAAGGCAAUGGAAAGGCUUGCUGAGGCCAGAGGAAAGAUUGAGUGAAAGGGAAAGGACAGAUGGGGAAGUGGGGAUGUUAUGUAAGAAGGGUAGUCUUCUAGAGACAGAAUGAUAGUGAGAGAGGGAGAGAAAUAGAGAUAGAGGGAUAGAAAGAGAUGAGUCAAAACGAGAAAGGAAUUGAGUAAGAAAAAUCAGCUUGGCAAAAGACAGGGCAAUGAUUGUAGUGGACAGUGAGGGACAGAAGUGAUUUUCCAAAACAGAAUGAGAACUGGAAAAGGAAAUGAGAAAUUUAUACUUGGGAGGUGUUUGGGGUGGGUCUUUAGCUCAUUAGUUGUUGUCCUUCAUACUUGAAGUGGACCAAAAUCACCUCACUGGUGAUGACUUUUUUUCUCAUUAAAAUUUUCAUUUAAGUGAAGUAGGACUGCACAAAGUUCUCUGCCUUACUCUAGGUUCCAGGAUCAAUGUCAAGUCCAGUGGAAAGACUAAAGUCAAGAUGACCACUGAUGGCCCAGGGUGUAGUGGAUGACCUUGGCUUUCUCAGUGUCCAAACGAGCUCUGAUUGCUCUACAGCUCUUGUGUAUUCCAUGGCUGUUGGCAUAAAUUAUUCUCAUCCUUCCCCUUCCCUCAGGGGAAGUCUUCACAUGCCUUGGGUAGAAACUUCCCCAACUCAUUGAUGGGGUUUAGGUUUGUCAGUUAUCCUCAACCUGGUUUUCACCAGCUUGCAGAGACUUUUUACCAAGGUGUGGCCACUGGGCACAUGACAGCUUCUUGGCGCCACAGGUGACCAAAAUGGAGAAACAGUCUCAGGGGCCUCCACCUCCAGCUUCCUUCAGAGCAAGCUUCUCAGAGCAAAACCUCUCCCACCACCCUAGUCCUCAGACCCCACUAUCUUUAAGGAAACCAUCCAAGUUCCCUCCUGUCAGUUCUCACAUCUACCAAUCACUGUCCUUGUCUUCCCUGUGCCCAUGGUGACUCUAGCUUAACCCAGGACCUCCCAGAGGUCUGUGGCUUUGCACAUAUAUGUUGAAGGUCAUAUUCUCAAAUAAUUAAAUCUUGAUCUUUGCUGCAGCUCUUCCUAAAUCCUGUUACCCUGAGUAGGGUGGAGAUUGGAAGUUCCAAGACCUGGUUCUGUCAUUCCAAGUAUCUCUAUUGUAUCAAUUCUAAAAUCAAUCAUGACUCAAAGAACUUCCUGUUCUAUGCUUAAGCAUAGGUCAAAGCCCUUUCCAUUGUUCAGCAAAAGGUUUCUGUCCUAAAGUAAUCUUAAGUAGGGAGGAGAAAGACCCUCCCAUGCCAAGGGGGUUAACAUUCCAAUAGACUAUCAGUAGGAAAUUUUUCAAGUAUGAAAUUUCCCAAUGGUGAAAGUUCCAACAUUUAUAAGUCUAAGAAAUUUUAAGGUUUACAAUCCCCCCUGAUGAUCAUUGGGAGACUAGUCUCCCCAUUGAUCAUUUAACAUAAUCAUUUUGUAGUUCUAAAUGUACUUCUAACUAUAGAUAUACACAAUAUUCAAUUUUCUAAGAGAAAUUAGAAUAGUGAGAGAGGAAAUAGAAAAAGAAAAGAAAGCAAAACCAAUGUUUUGCUAGGCGCAUUGGCAGAAAGCCAAAUUAGGGGCAGUCCCCUUUGGCAUAAAUGUGUACAAUUAUAAUAAAUGUUCAAUCAAAAGUUCAGUCCAAUCAAUCAUAUCCAAAGUUCAUUCUUGAUCUUCUUGAUGAAGUAUAGGUUUUCGGCAUCUUUCUGCAACAGUUCAUUCUCUGGAUAUAAAAGUUUCAAGCUUCUUUCUUGAAGAUCUUUUCUUGAACAGAAUCAAAAUCUUUGAUUUUUUUAUAACACUAAAUUUUUAAACAAAAUUCAAAAUUCUUGGAUUUUUAUAAAAAUUCAAUCUCAAACAAAAAAAAUUCAAAAAUGAAAAAAAAAUUCUUAGAUUUUAAAUUAAAAUACAAUCCCCCCUGAAAUAAGUAUUAAAAAAUAUCAAGUUUAGCUCAGAAUGCAAUGUUCAGUUAUGGGGGUGUAUGUGUCAAUUAUCAAAAGAAUAGAAAAAUAAUCAAAGACAUAAGAAAAAUUCAAAAUAGGCCUUGUAUAGGUCCAGUUUAAAUUAAUUUCUAUCCCACAAGUAUGUAGGACAGAAUGCAGUAAUAUUUCACUUAGCCAUUUGUAGCCAAGACUACAGGAAGUUGCCAUAAUAUAAGAAGAAAAGAAUUCUGUUUUGAUGGGGAAAUGUCAUUCCUUUGUCUGAUUUUUUUUCAGGGACAUAGGGAGCCAGCAUGAUAGUCAAGCUUUGUACUUGUUUCAGUACUUCGUAAAGAGUGUAGAUACAAGGAAGUCCUACGACUUAAACAUAAGUUAAGCGUCGCAACCUUGAGUCUCACUUUAAUAUUUCUUGUGUGCUCUAUUGGCACUAUUCAGGUUUAGUCUGUGCUCCUUGUUUUUAUCCCUUUUCCUGGAAUCAGACACAAACAUUAAUCCCAGUCCUAUAAUAUUUUAUCAAUAAAUAUCAGGUUCCCAUAGUUUAAAGCUUUUAGGCAUAUAUUGAUAUUAUAGCAAGAGUAUAUAUAUUAACUUGUAUUACUGCAGGAAAAAAUAAUAUUAAUAUUAAUUAUGUGUACCUUCAGUACAAAAAAUGAGAAAAAAAAUCAAAUAUUUUGAUCAAAAAAUAAAAGAAAAGAAAUAAGAAAAAUAAGAAAAAAUCAGUAAUUCAAUAUAUUCUUGAAAAAACAGCAUCCAUUUGUCUAUGGAUUAUUAUCUCCAAUUCAUAUGAUAAGAUAGAGUCACAAUUCAUAUGAUAGGAUACAGUCAAUCAGUCUCAGCAGAAGAUGCUUUCUUCACAUGUGAGCAGUGAAUCCAAGAGUCCCUUUCUCCAAUCUUUAUAGAUGUUGGAGUAGUUAAUAAUAUUUGGAAUGGUCCUUCUCAUGAAGGUUGAGUUCCUCCAGUUCGCUUGAAAUUCUUGAUAGAAACUUUAUCUCCUGGGUUCAGGUCAUGCAGAGAAAAGUAUAAUGGUCCGGCUUGUACUGCAGCUCCGGAUUCAUGAAGUUCACGUAGUUUGUGCUGUAACUCCUGUAUAUAGGAAGCAAUAGUAAUAUCUCCCCCUAAGCUGGGGAGAAAGGCUUAGCCUGUAUAGGCGGAUGUCCAAAAAGCAUCUCAAAUGGUGAAAUAUGUAAGUCUCCUCUAGGCCUGCUUCUAAGAUAAAAUAGGGCCAGAGGGAGAAUUUCAGGCCAUUUUAAAUGGGUCUCAGUGCAUAAUUUGCCAAUCAUAGUCUUAAGUUCUUUGUUCAUUCUUUCCUACUAUUUGGAGAGGAGAAAAAGAACUGAAAAAGGUUAAUUAACAUCAACAAAAUCAAUACAAUCUGAGAAGAAUCAUCUUCAUUAUACUGGGAAGUUCCCUGGGCACCCUCCUGAAGGGCACCUCUCUGAGGGUCAUUAGCUCCUCAAGUAUUUUUUGGACGAGCAUCAUUUCUCAUAUAUUGUUGUUGAGUAUUAUCAUUUUCUUCAUUUGAAGAAUUGUCAUUAUUUUCCCAAUUCCUAUUUCUAUAAUUCUGGUUUCUAAAGUUCUUAUUUCUAUAUUCAUUAUAGUUAUUUCCAUAGUCAUUAUUAUAAAUUCUAGAAUUCUGGUUUCUAUAACCAUUAUCAUCAUUUCUAUAGUUAUUAUUUCUAAAGCUAUUAUUAAACUGUGUAUUCCUUCCAAUCAUCUUAAGAAAGGUUCUACAUUCCAUCAUUUUGUGGCCCUUCUUCUCACAGAAGUGGCAAGUAAUGGAUUGAUAAUUUGAUUUCUGGAGAGGGACAAUUGUCGUUGGUUCAUUAUCAUGCCCACUUUCUAAUUUAGUUAUCCUAUCUAUUAAAUAUAUUAUUUUUUUCUUCAUUUCCUCCAAGUCAUCAUGGUAAGUGGCAGGUGUAUAUACACCAAAGGAGGAAAGGAGCCCUGAAAAAGGCUAAGAAGCCCUCACACCAGAGGUACUGGUCUUCUCAGAAUACCCCAUGCACCCUGGGUGGCAGUUCAUUAUCAUUUGAUAGAGUUCUCUGGUUGGAGUCAGAACCCUCUUGAGUUUGAAUCUAAAAUCAACUAGUGAAAAGUUGUUUUACCCCAGGUGAGACACUUAACUUGUCUCAACCAGUUUUCUUCUGCAAAACAUCAGGACUAGACUUGAUGGCCUCCAAGGUCCCUCCAGCUCUCUGAUCAUAGGGAUGAGAGGGUGAGAAAAGAAAGUCCAUUUUGGGAUUUGAGUAGGAAUACGCUUAGGAAGAAUGAUUGAUUAAGGAGAAGAGUCAUAUGGAGGGAAGAGAGCAAUGAAAGUGGAUUUGGGGGGUGAUUUGUAGAGAGAUGCAACUAAAGCUCUGUGUAUAUGAAGCAGUGUUAAGUCCAAAUGACAUGAAUUCACAUGCUUCUUCACACAUACAUUCCUAUUAGACAUGUGACCUUGGCAAGUCACUGCAAGUGUCUAAACCUCUUUUUGUUCUGCCCUAAAAUGAUAGAGUUGGACUCAAUGACCUCUAGAGUUCCUCCUGGCUCUAAUUCUGUGAUGAUAUUGGUUACAGCUAGACAAAGAAAAGAUUUCUUUGUGAAUGUGAGGGAGAACAAGGCAAAAGAUUUGUGAGGAGAAGAGACAAAGGGAAGGGGUGGCUGAGGACAGGGGAGGGGUCUGCUGGGGUGUGGUGGGAUAUUGAGUCAGAAGGGUAGGUCUCUAAAUGAGUGCAAUAGUGCUGUUAUGUGUACUUAGGAAAAUUCUAAAAUAUGAAAGAAAGGGAAAAGAUUAGGACAUAAAUUGCCACAUAAAAGAGCAAAAAGUAACUGAGUGAAAAGGGGGUUAGAAAAAGAUUGGAGGCAAGUUCAGUGGAUGCAUUCCAGCUUGAAUUCUAUGAUGAUACUGAUGAGAGGGGGAUAGGAAAAGACCAAUUAUUGGGUGAGAUUUAGAGUAAGGAGAUAAAGAUGUUGAGUAGGAAAUAAAGAGGUGGGGGGAGAGACAGACAGACAGACAUACACAGAGAGAGUGCAAAAUGAGAAUGGCUUGACACAUUCAAAGAAAAUCAGAGAGAGAUACAGGAAUAGUGAGAGAAGGUGACACACACACACACACACACACACACAGAGAGAGAAAACGGUAAAGAGUAACAGUUAAAUAGAUAAAGGGCAUCUGACAAGGGUAGAAGAAGCCAGCUUCUAGGUGCCAUGGUGGUUAGAGUGCUCUACUUAGAGUUCUGUCAUUGGGUUGAAAUCCCACCUCAGCCUUUGACAAGCUGUGCUAUUCUGCAAAUGUCAGUUAGCCACCGUCAGCCUCAGGUUUCUCCUCACAUCAUUUCUAGGGCUAUAUUUGACAGUAUCUCAUGAUACUCCACCUUUAUGAUCCUUUGGGUGCCAGAGAUGUACAGUAGGAAGUUUACUUGGGUUUAACUAGGAAUUGGGAGAGAGAAAGUUAGAAUGAAGAAGGCAUUGAGGAUGAAAAGGAGACAGAAAGAAGCCUUUAAAGAAAGCAGAAGUGUGAUAAGUGGAGGGAGUAAGAAGAGCAAAAUAGCUAGAUCUCUUAGUUCCAUGAUGACGAACCUAUGGCACAUGUGCACUCAGAGCCCUCUUCAUGGGCACACAUAGGGCCCUGGCUUGGCCAGCAGGGAGCCUGGCCCCACCCUCAAGGGCAGGGGUUGGGGCAUUCUAAGAGGAGGUGAGCUUAACUCAGCCCUGGGCUUGGCUACUCCCUUCUAUCCCACCUCCUCCAGACCCCCCAAGCUGAGCAGCAGUGUGGUGGCCACGCCCCAUAUGGCCCAGGGAGCUAAGGGUCUGCAGCAAGCACAGCACCCACCUCCCUCCAGUCCCUGGGAGCACAGCCGUGAUGGUGCCCACGCCACUCUGCCCCCUGGAGAGGGGAGCCCAUGCCCCUCUGGCUCCCUGAAGCAGAGCCAUGGAGAUGGCUAUGCCCCUCCAGCUCUUGGAGCCCAGCUUCAGCAGGGAAUGCAGUGCCCAUACCCCUCCAGGCCCUGGGAGCUGAGGGGUGUGACUGGACCAGGGCUGGUAGCCUGGCCCUGCCCCCAAACCCAAGGGAAAGGUAUGGGGCACUAGAGCCUCCUCACACAGCUGGCCCCUCCCACGGCCCCUUCCCUGAAUGUAGGGGGGACACUGCAUACAGUCAGGGUGUGGGGCAUGCAAUUGAGGGGCGGGGCAUGGCAUGAAAUGGGGGGUGGGCACUGGUUGGAAGUCUGGGGUGGGGGUUGGGGGGUGGGUGAGCCAUGGCACCGGCUUCCUAAAAAGUCCAAAAGCAUUCCCCAUCACUAUCCUAGUUGAUUCUUCUUAGAAGCCAAAAUCAAUUCGAUUAGAGUGUCUAAACCUGCACCUACUCUUUUAAUAUGAUGGAGUUGGACUCAUGGCCCCAAGGGUGCAGGCCAAAGCUAAAUCUGUGAUCAUAAUCAUGAUUGAGGAAAAGAAAAUGCACCAUUUAUUUAUGGGUGGGAAUUACAGUAAGGAGAAACACCAUUAGAGGAGGAGCUAGAAAAAGAGAUGUAGAAAAGGGGAGGUAGAGAGAGAAGCAGAGGGAGACAGAGGCAGAGAGAGAGAGAGAGAGAGAGAGAGAGAGAGAGAGAAUGAGGGGAGAGAGGCCCUUUUGGAAGAAAAUGAGGACUAGAGAUCCGAAAAGUUGAGGGAGAGAUCAAAGGGAAGGGCCAAUUGGCAAAUAUAGAGAAGUCAGCUAGGUGUCAUGGUGGUUAGAACACUACUUAGAGUUAGCUCUUUGGCUUGUAAUCCCACCUCAGCUUUUGCCAAGCUUUGUUACUCUGAAGAAAUCAGCUGACUGCUGUUAACUUCAGUUUUCUUCUCAUUAUACUUAUCACCUGAAUUGUAUAGUUUCUAAAGACAUGUCAACUCUCAGAUCCCUAUGUGAUGAACAGAGGUAUGUUUCCACAAGGGAGAGAGUUAGAAAGAGAAGUGAGAAUUUUGCAUAUCAGAGGUGUCAGAGAGGUAGUUGAUAGAGUCAUUCAACAGAACAAUCUGGUAAGAGCUCCUGAACUUUGAAUCUGAACUCAGGUCCUGAAGAGUUGUUAUGCCCCAGUCAAGUCAUUUAACUGGUCUCAGCCAUUUUUCUCUCCUGUAGAAUGGUAGGGUUGGAUAUGAGGGUACCUCCAGCUGUACAAUCCUGUAAGUGACAAAGGGAAAAGAAAGCCCUGGGGAUAUGGAACGCUGUGUGUGUGUGUUGGAAUAGGAACCACAAUAAUUUUGCCAUAUCUUGAUGGCCUAAAAAUGUAAAAAUCCUGCAACCACAAUUGGGUUAAUAUUAGAAAAUCCCCUUCUCCUAUGCAGAGGAGGGAAAAGUCUCUCCCACUGAUAUUAAAACCACUUAGCAUUCUUUGAAAAUAGGCCAUGCAUUUUCAUCCAAAAUGGCUUCUUUGUCAAUUCUAAUGAUAUUUGCUCCCUUCCCCUUAUCUCCUGUCCUGGAAUAGAGAACUAUAUUCUUUUUUUCAGUGAGUCACUAAACAUUUGUUGACCACCCACUGACACAUGUCAGGCAUCAUGCUAUAUACUUUGGAGAUGUAAAGGAAGGUAAAAUAUCUCUCUGUUGUUAUGAAACUCAUAGUCUAAUGGUGGAGACAAUGUGCAAACAGCUAUGUACCAAAGAAGAUAUAUAUAUAGACUUGAUGAAUUUGAAAUACUCAAGAGAGGGAAGGCAUUAGAAUUGAGGCAGAUCAGGAAAACCUUUCUAUAAAAGGUAGAAUUCUGGCUGAGACUUGAAGGAAGCUGAGGAAAAUAUGGAUGAAGAUGGAAACCAUUGUAGGAAUGAGGGAAAACCAGUGAAAACUCCGAGGGCCAGAAAUGGACUUUUUUGUUCUAGGGAAAACAGCGAGGUCAGUGUCCCUGGGAAUCGGAAUGUGUGGAUGGUAGAGUAUAAGGGGGAAAAGACCAGAAAGGUGGCAGGUGAGGAAGGGCUUUGAAUGUCAAGCAGAGGAUUUGCUCUUUCAUCCUGGAAAUCUUCCAGUAUUAUUGAGUAGUGGAUUUACUUGGUAGGUCUUGAAUUUUGGAAGAUCAUUUGGAUAGCUAGAUGGAGAAUGAAUGGAGUAAGGAAAGAAUGUAGGCAGGAAGACCAAGAAGAAAGCUAUUUCUUUAGUCCCAACAUGAUAUGAUGAGGAGCUGCAAGAAAUUGGUGGCAGUGUCAGAAGAGAGAGAUGGCCAAUGUUAAGAAGGCAAAAUUGACAGGGCUGGGCAUCAAGAAUAAAUUCUUUGGUUUUCACUGCCAAUAGUUCCCUUUUUUCUCCAGUAACUAAUCCCCUUCCUUCUCUCUCUUUGGUGCAGUAUUUGCAUUUUCCAUCUCAAGCUGUAGAAUGCCACUUAUUGGUUUUGUAUUCUGACGGCCUAAAAGUAAUCAAAGCUAAAUGUUGUCCUGCUCUUCCUGGAUGGUAACCUUCCUUAUCAGGCUAGUUAAUAGGGUUGCUUUCUGUUUGGUUUUCUAUCUUUGACCUAAAGCCACUGGCUUCUGGCUGACUGGAGUGCUUUUCCCAAGAGGCUGAGGGAAUUUUGCCACAAUUUGGGUUAGGAGGUAGCUGUCUGUGACUCAUUUGAGCUGGUGGAGUGAUGGGACACCUGGGAUUGCUGGAGUGCGCACAAGGUACCCUUUUUACCUCCAUUAACAGCCUCCCAUGGUGCUUUGUCAUCCUCCUACUCAUUGGGUGGUAAGAGUCAGUUUGUCCAAAUUUCUGUGUUCCAGUGGAGAGCAGAGUAAAACACAUCUGAAGAUUAUGAUGGGUUAGUUGUUUGUUGGUUGUGGCUUUACAGGAGGGAGUCCUGUCUGGGAGUAUUGUCUUAGUUAUGAAGCAUUGACCAAAGCUAGGACUAGCUAUCCUGGCACCUACACCUGCUUUCCUAGUUUUCUCUUAGGGAAGGCAGAAAGUAAGGUGACCCUCCUUUGACUGGUCAGUAAGAGGGCAGGACCUGAGAGAUGUUGGUCUGAAUCUGAUGCUCCUUGACCUGGAGGGAAAUCCUUCCCCAGAGAAAGUGACAGAAGAAGCCAUUAGGUUGGGUUGCAAGUGUGUAAGAAUGAAGAUGGCCAGUGAUUGUGUGAGUGAAUGUAUGAACUAGCAGGAGGCCUGUGGAUGGAUCUCCUCACAGUGAGAGUCCCUGACAAUCACUGGUUCCUGAGUUAGCCUAGGGACAAUCUAUGUCUUUUUGUAUAUUAUGUGGAGAAUCCUAUUGUCUUUAAAUGUCUCCUAUUGUGCAGCCUCUGGGGUCUGAAGCACCAGUUCAGCCUAUGGGUAGAUUCAACCAAAUGAGAAACCAACAAGCCACCCAUAUAGUCCUGGAUCAUCUCUUGCCUCAAUGUUUUCCUUUCUCAAUUUCUGUUAUGCCCAUUGAGAAAGGACUUCGGAACAAUGGGAAAAAAAUCUUGUGUCCUGAGACUUGAGGAGAGAGUGAGCAGUGUUGCUUGUGCUUGUCUGUUCAGUGCUGUCAGCAUUGUCUCUAAUUUGUGUCUUUGGAAAUCCAGCUGAUCUUUUUCCUGUGGUCUGAUCAGCCAAAGGGAAAAGGGUGAAAAAAAAACCGAGUUUCCACUGACAUUCCUAUAUUCCUAAUUCUGGCCAAGUUAGGAAUACAGGAGAGAGAGAGAGAGAGAGAGAGAGAGAGAGAGAGAGAGAGAGAGAGAGAGAGAGAGAGAGAGAGAGAGAGAGAGAGAGAGAGAUUGGGAGGAUAUUCUUUUCCCAUUUUCAGAAAUUUAUAGAAUUGCAAAAUUAUUAGAGAACAAAUUUCUGCAUGAAAUGUCCAUCUGGCAAUGUGCAUUACCAAUUAUGAUGGCACAGUAGUAUGUAUAUUCUUAUAUAUGCUAUGCUAUCUUAUUGAGUGUUUGGGUACAGAUCCCCUUAGAAGUGCUAACCAUGUAUUACCUCUGUGUCUCUGAAGCCUCUUUCUAUACCAGUUUCCUCAUUUAUAAGAUGAAAUUUCAUAAGAGCUACAACUCAAUAUUAUUCUGAGGAUCAAAUACUUAAUUAUCAUUUGUUUAGGAAAGACCCUGGAUCAUUUUAAGGAUUUAACAAAUGCUUUCCCUCUUACAUGAUGGGAUAAGUAUCAUUGGGUUGUAGGGAUCCACUAUAGUUUGAAUCGGUGAUAUUUUUGUGCCAUUGAAGAAAAGUGAUGCCCACCUCUCAAUUAUGAGAAACAAUCAGGUCUUGGGAUCUGGGUAGGGAAGAGAGAGAAGGAAGGGAUGAGACUGGAUAGAGAAAAAGAUUAAUUGAAAUGGAAGCACCAUUAGAUGGUUCCAAUGCUUGAUACAGAACUACACAGAGAUGGAGAAACAGGAAGAGGAAAAGAGAAACACCAGGCCAAGGAGAACUCAUGGCAAUUGGUUGGAGAAUGAGCCCAGAGGCCAUGUUAGUGAAGCUUCAUUUCAGUAGUGGAGUGGCAAUGUAGUUACAAUGAGUGAGAGAGUUUCCCUUGUUGAUGGAGCAAAUAGCCAAAGUUGAGGUGGAAAGAUCAGGGUUUUCUCCAUUAGACCUGAGGUUGGAUCCCUUCUCAGUAAUGGAGUACGGAUGUUUUCCUUUGCCAGUCUGUCAGUGUGCCUCAGCUAUAGCUUUGCCCUCCAUCAAAUGGUGUUAGGGGCCUUCUUUCCUGCAAUUAAGUCAGAGUUCUAGGGUCUUGUGAAGUGAAGAGAUGUAGAAAGACUUUGUGCACCAAACCUCACCCUAACCCUAAAAUCAUUCUCUUCCUUCCCUGCAGAGGGAAGAAUUUCUGGCUUUCAUGUAAGGAAGGCAAUUUCACUGAGUAGAGGAUUAUCACACCGUAAUAGAAUUGGAGGUGGUUUACAAGAUGUGUGUCCAAUGCUUGUAAAAGUGGAGAAAAAUGAGGAAAAUACUUUUGCAUUUGGCAGUUUUGCCAUGAUUCUGAGGUGUUUGAGAAAAAUGUUCCAAAUGUGCAGAAGAGAGAGCCAGGGGAUGAGAAGGAAAGCAGCUCUGAAGGUGGUGUGAGACAUGAUUGGGAAGAAGAGAGGGGCAAGACUGAGAAAGGAGCAGUGAAGGAAGGACAGCGAAGCAGUGAAUGAGGUGUGGGGAGAGGGGCAAUUCUAUGGUUGGCAGGAAUCAGUCUGGUUAAUCUGAGUCAGGAGAGAGAGGAAGAAACAGAGAGAGAGAAUUUUGCCUCCCUAAUGUCUUUUGAUUAUGCCUCCUUCUGUCCCCUGACACUGCCAUUACCUUGGUGCUGGCCCUUAUGACUUGGACCAUUGUAGUAGCUGCUGGUGGGUGUGUCUGCCUCCAGUCUGCCCACUCCAAUCCAUCCUCCUUUCAGCCACUAAAGUGAUUUUCCUGAAGUGCUGUUCCAGACUUGUCAGCCUGCCCCUCCUCCACUCAGUGGAUUUCAGUAGCUCUCUAUUGCCAACUGGAGGAAAGAGAAAAUAGUCUCUUUGUAGCUCAAAUCCAGCACAACUGCCCUUCCCCCAUUGCCAGGCUCCUAAUACCAGGCCAGCUCCCUGACUCACUCUGCAAUGCAGGCACGUUGUCAUCCUGCUCUGCCUUGAAUAUGGCACUAGCUGUCAACAAUGAGUAUUUCCCUGGCUUUUCCCCAGGACUCCAAUGCUCUACCUAAUGCUCAGGUUGUAUGAUGGAUAGUCUACUGUACUGGGAGUCAAGACUCUUUGAGUUCCAAUUCUGACUCACACAUUGUCACCAUCCAUGUUACCUUGGCCAACUCAGGUAGCUUUAGUCAGCCUCAGCUUCCUCAUCUGUAAAAAGAUGAGGCUGGACUCUGGGUCCCUAAGGUUUCUGUAGCUCUAUAAAUGGAUGUUUCAGAGAGAGAACCCAAAGAAAUCCUUAGAAUUAGUGUUAGAGAUAGAGAACAAGAGGAAAGGUAUUUAUUUAGUUGGUAUUCUUCAUCCUUAAAGAGGAUGAGAAUGACAUCACCAUGUCUAGGUCAGUGUAGAGUUUUUCUGACUUUGGACUCAUCAGACCAAUGGGAGUUCAAAGGCUCUAACAUAGUUUGGGCACAAGUAGCCCAUGAAAAUUUGGGAUGGAGAGUUAUGCAAAUGGGCACAUCACAGGUUUCUUUGAGGGAAGCUAGCAGUGAGGAAUAGAUAGAAAGAAGGGAGCACUAGACAUGAGUGUUGGGGCACUAUUUCAAGUGACCCAGCUUGAUCUCCUAAAGGACAGAACAGUGUCGUCAAGGAUCAUGAUGAUCUGAGAUCGAUUUCUGAUUCCCAGCAUGCUUACUAAAUGUGUGGUGUUGGGGAAAACCCAUACAUAAUCUAAGGUACUUUCUUCUUCUCAGACAUGAUGGAGUUGGACUCAGUAGUCCUUAAGGUCCAAUUCAUCUCUAUUUGAUUUUUUGGUGACAGAGCAAAAAUGAAAAGUUAGCUUCCUGUGGGAUCAGAGUGACAACAAAACUAAGAGGUUCUGAGUAGCACAGAGAGUUAAAAAUAGAUAUUUCUGUGGACAGCCAUAUUUCUGGGCAAUUCAGUUAGUGUCCAAGAUUUUUCCUUCAGUGAUACUUUAAUGGACUUGGUCUCAGUGGUCCCCAGUGUUCCAUCCAGGUCUAAAUCUAUGUUCAUGUUGUUGAUAUUGAGAAAAAGAAAAGAUAAGUUACUAUUGGGUGGGAAUAAGCAGAAGGGAAAAAAUCGUUUGUAGGCAAUAGAGAGAAAGGAAGAGUGAAAGAGACUGAGAGGAAGUAGAAAAAGAAGACAGGGAGAGAGGGAACACCACUACAUUGGACAGAGUGCAAGUAUAGAAGACCACAGAUGGAAGGCCUCCAAUAAGUGACACACAAAGGUUAUAGAUCGUUGGGCCUAGUGAGGGAAUAUAUCUAUGUGUUUUAAUGGCUAGAGGACUACAUGUGUAGUGAAGACUUUCUAAAUUUGAGUCCUGAAAUACACUGCCAAGCUGUUACCCAGCUAAUUGAUAGAGAUUCUUUCAGACUAUGUUUUGACCUCUCUUAAUGGAGGUGGACUCAAUCCCCCCUAAGUUUCUUUCCAGCUCUAAAUCUAUGAUCAGAUUGAUGACAGAAGUAAAAUGAAAAGGCCCCUUAUUGCUGAGUCAGAAUGAGAACAAGAAAGAAAAGCUUUUGAUUAGGCUAGGAGACAAGAGACAGAGACAAAGAGAGAGCAAGGAGGCAGAGAGAUAUAGACAUAAAGACAAAGUGGAAGAGAUCAGGAAAAAGAAAUAGUGACAGCAAGAGAGACAGAGCCACAGAGACAGGGACACAGAGAAAUAGAACCAUAUGAGAAUGAGCAAGGGAGUGAGGGAAGGGUCUGUGUGGAGAAUGAGAGAUAGUAGCAGAAGGUGAGGGGGAGGUAUGACAAGAGAUGGGACACCUGAGCUAUAUAGAUCAGGUCAGCUAGGUGUCCUAAUGAUUAGAGAAUCAUAUGUGGAAUUGUGUUUGAGUUCCAAUCCUAUGUCAGCUUCUGACAAGCUGUGUGACCCUGGAGGAAUAGAUUAACUAUUAUCAUCCUCAGUUUCCUCCUCUUUAUAUUCAUGGGCCUAGACUUGAUGGUGUCUAUUCAUGGUCCAGUUCUCUGAUGCUUUGGUUUCCAGAUGCUUUGGGACUGAGGCAGGAGUAAUAUGGUGCAGUUAGAGUGAAUAGGGCAUCCAGGAGGAGAGAUAUCCCUAGAUGGGACCACUGGGAAGAGGGGUGCAAGGGAUGUGUGUGUCAUACAACUAGGUCUCUCAGUGGACUGACCUUGGACAUAAGGAUGCUCUGAGUUCAGAUAUAUUUAAUAAGGGUUUGAAACUUGGCAAUUCACCUAGAGCAGUGAUAAGGAAUCUUUUUGGACUUCUUAGUGACCCCAUGCCAUAUCCUCCUUAGACUGCUUGCCAAUGCCCUCCCCCCAUUGCAUGCCAUGCUCUGCCCCCAACUUCUUGCCCAUCUUCCUGACUGGGUACAGUGCCCCAGCUGUGGGCUGCACUCUGGGGUGGGGCAAAGGGGAGGGGCUGAGCACCUCAGGGGGGUUCCAGUGCCCCAUACCCUUCCCUUGUGUUUGGGGGGUGGGAUUAAGCUAUCAGCUAUGGGUCAGCAUCACCUCUUGGCUCCUGGGGGCCAGAGGGGAGUGUGUGCUGCACUUGCCCCUGAAGCUGGGCUCUAGGAGACAGAGGGCCAUGGCCACUGCUGUGGCUCAGCUCUUGGGGGCAGAAAGGGCAUGGGUGCUGCCUCUCCCAGGGUCUAGAGGGCUGUGGGCUCAGCCACGGUUCAGCUCCUGGGGUCUGAGGGUUGUGAGUGCUGGGCUUACUGCCCAUCCUACACUCCUGGGGUCAGAGGGGAGUGGCCACCCUGCUGCUUGGCUGGGGGGGGAUAGGGGUUGGGAUGGGGUGGAGGGGGCAAGGCCAUACCCCAGGAAGAGCAGAGCUCAGCUGCUCUCAGAACACCCCACCCCUCAAAUUCAGGGGCUGGCUCCCAGCCAUCCGAGCCAGGGGCCUACAUAUUCCCAUGGAGAGAUCUCUGUGUGCUAUCUUUGGCAUGUGUUUCAUAGGUUUGCCACCACAGGAUUAGUGUCCAAGCCUCUGGCUUUGGUUAUAGUGUAAGGAAUUUUGGUGUGCGGGAUAUUAAGGGAAGACCAGUACCUCUGGUGUGAGGGCUUGUGGAUCCUUUUUCUGGGCUCCUUUCCUCCUUUGGGGUCCCCCUGCCACCCAGCUCUCACCUGUGGCCCCAAGAAGCUGUACUAUGCCCAGUGGCUUCAACCACGUAAAUAGUCUUGUAAGGACAACAAGCAACCAAGUUGGACUCAAUGGCCCCUAUGGUUUCUUUCAGCUCUAAAUCUGUGGUCAUAUUGAUGAAGAAGAGGAAAAGAAAAGGCUAGAUAUUACUGAGUGGGAAUUAAACAAGGGGAAAAGGGUGUUAAGGAGGAAAGAGGAAGAGGAAAAUAGGCAGGGGGUUAGGGAGAGAAAGAGACAGAGAAAAUAUAGAAAGUAAAAGAAAAGGGCUCUUAACACUGGGAGGAAAUAAGUGCAUGUAAGCAAAAGCUUUUGAUGAGGACAGAGGGAGAGGAGGAAAGGGAUAGUGAGAGUGAGGGGCGAGAGAGAGACAGAAUGAAAGAGCUCAAGUGCUGGGUAGGGGGUCGAGAGAACCUGAGUUGUGGAGACAGAGAGAAAAUAUCAGAGAGAAACAGUAAAACAAAAAGAAAACAGAAACAGAAAUAGAAGGCAAGAGGACAGAGACACAGAAAGAAUGAAAUCCAGAAAUUUGGAGAGAAAGAGACCUCCAAGGUAAUGGGAAAGAGAAUGAGGGAAGAGACUAUGUGAAGGGACACUAUUGUGAAGGACAGUGUGCAGUCGAGAAAGGAGAGCCCAGGUGAGGGAGACAUAGAAAGGGAAGGGACUCUUGGUAAUUGUAGGACAAGCCAGCUAGGUGUCCCAGUGGAUAGAGUAUUCUCCUUUGUGUUUGCUAUUCGAUGUUCAGUCCCACCUCACCUGCUUUACCCAUAGUCAGCCUCAGUUUUUCUUCAACAGAAUGAUGGGGCUGGAUUUGAUGGUGUCUAAUGAUACUCUAGCUCAGUGAUGCUCUGUGAAACAGUGAUAGAAAAUGUGGUCCCCUUAAGAUUAAACUAGGAAGAGAGACUUAGAGAAAAUAGGGUGUCAGGGUAGAGAGAGACUCAGAGGAAGAUUUACUGGAAGGGAGGUGGGGUGGGGUAGAAUGAGUGUUUCACAGAGCUAUGUCUCUUAGUGAACUCUUCUUGGAAGUCAGCAUUACCUGAAUUCAUAUUCUGCCUCACAUGUACUCCUCUUAGCCCUUUGAUAUUGGGCAGGCCACUUAAAUAAUCUAGCCCUCACUUACCAAGCUUAAUUUCUGAUAGUAUGGGAGAUAAAGGCAACAGAAAAGAGUAAAUACUAUUCAUUGGGAGUAAGAGUCAGACAGUCCAUUUUGAGGAUGGGGGAGAAUUUACAUUACUCUGGAGAAGUCACUUAACCACACUGUUAGCCUCAGUUUUCUCUUCCUCAAAUUGGUUACACAGAUCAUGCUCCUGUUCUUGGAUCCUGUGAGUGCCAGGAGAAAAGGGUGCCCACUUGGCAUUAAGCUUGGAGUAGACAGAGAUUGAGUUAGCAGAAAUGGGGGAUUGAAGAUGAGAAGGAGACAGAGGAAAUAGAAAUGUGUGCUCUGAGGGUAAUAUGUAGACCCAAACAGCCAGGUCUCCUACUAGACUCUUCUUGGAAUUGAAAUUGACUGGAUUUCAAAUCCCAGUUAAUAUUUGGGGAGAAAUCUUUGGUCCUGGGCAGUUCACUCAGAGUGAGUAUCUAAGCCCCUAUCCACUCUUCUAUUUAUGAUGGAAUCAAACAAAGGAGCAGCUUGUGUUCCUCCUAGCUCUAAAUCUAUGAUGAUAUGGAUUACAGGGAGAAAAAGGGAAAAUUAGUUAUUAUUACCUGGGAAUCAGGGAAAGGUAAAAAGGGUUUGAAGGAGAUACAGAGAGAAGGAGGUAGAGAUGAUGAGAGAGAGGGCAAAAGAGAGAGACAGAGAAAGAGAUAGAGAAAAAGUGACAGAUUUAAAGAUCAAAACAGAGAACUAUAAUGAGAUAUAAAGAAAAGCCCAGAGAUAGCUACUGAAAGAAAGAAGAGAUAGAAACACACACAAACACAUAUAAUACAUAUAUAUGUGUAUAUAUAUAUAUAUAUAUUUAUACAUAUAUCUGAUAUGUAUACACACACACAUAGAGACAGAGAUACCAUUGUUGGUGAACUUAUGGCAUGCAUGCUGGAGGGGGCUGCUCCCUUCCCCCUCCAUGCAUGACUAAGAACAUUUAUCACAUGACUAGCCCCUCUGCCCAGCAAGCCAAUGGGAGUGCUUCCUCCCUCCCCAUCUGGGGUAAAGUGAGGUGCUCACUUGUGGCAUGAGGGUUGCUGUUUGGGUACCUAGUCUCUAAAAGGUUUACCAUCACUCUCCUAGUGGAUAGAGCACUAUCCUUGGAAUUAACUAUUGGAGCUAAAAGCCCACAUCAGUUGCUGAUACAAUGUGCUACUCUGGAGAAGUCACUUGACCACUGUCAGUUUCAGUUUUCUGCUUAGUAAAAUCAUGGUUCUGGCUUUGAUGAUGUCUAACUAUCCUGAAGCUCAUUGAUGUUAUGAGUGUCAGAGAGAGCAUAGAAAAACCUGGUAGAUUUGGCAUGACAGAUGGAAGAGUAAGAGGGAACAGGGCAUCAGGGAGAGGUGAUAUAGAGAGAAGAGAGAGCUGGGAAGGCAGGUGGGAAGUAUAUGUCUGUCACAGAGCUAUGUCUCUUAGUGGUCUGAUCUUUGACAUCCUGGGGACCAGAGUUUAAAUUCUUCUGAUUUUUUAUAAUCAUUUGAAACAAGGCUUAGAGUUUGUAAACUCUAAGAAUAUUUUUAACACUUAGAGUAUUUAAGCCUCUAUUCUAUUAAAAUUAAAUGGAGUUGGACUUAGUGACCUAUAGGGUUUCUUCCUGCUCUAAAUCUGUGAUAAUAUUGGAGAUGUAGAAAAUAAGGAAGAGCCAGGUAUUAUUGGGUGGGAAUGUGAUUGUGGGAAAAUAAACUUUUAAAUAGUAGGGAAAGAGGAGACAGAAAAAUGUAGAGAUAAAUAGAGAUAUAGGGAUAGAGAUACAGAGAGAAAUAUAGUGAUAAAAUCAGUCAGAAAAAGAGAAACAGAGAAAUAGAGACAGAGGUAGAGCAAAACAAAGAAAAAGAGAAAUAUAGGUCUUUAACAAUGGACAAAGCAAUGAAAGAAGAGAUCAUUUGGAGGACAGUGGGUAAUUGAGCCAGGUGACCACAGGAGGUAGAGAGAUGGAUAGGGAAAGGACCAGUUGCCAAUGUAGACCAAGCCAGCUUGUUCUUUAGUUAUUUUGGUUAUAGCACUGUACUUUGGUUUAACUCUUUGAUUUAAAUCCCAACCUAAGUGCUGGUGAGCAGUGUUACUCUGGGCAGGUCAUUUAACCACUGCCAGCUUCUGUUUUCUCCUCAUUCAAUUUAUUGGGCUCUAUUGAUGGUGCUUCAUGACACUUCAGCUUUAUGAUCCUCUGGGUGCCAGAGAGCUAAAAGGAAGUCCCUUGGGAUGAAGGUUAGAGUAGAGAGGCAUAGAUUUAGAGGGAACCUGGCAUUGAGGAUGAGGAGGCAGAGGAAGUGGAAAUGUGUGGAUUGAGGGCAAUAUGUAGACCAAAAUAGCUUGAUAUCCCAGUGAAUACUUCUUGGAAGUCUCAGUGACUUGAGUUUAAAUUUUAAGUCACAUUCUGAAUAAUUGUUUGACACUGGGUAUUUCAGUUCAAAGGUCUAAGUCUCUGUAUUUUGUUAUAUUAUGGUAUUUUGUUAUAUUCAGGAAUUACCCGGGGUCCUUUCAGCUCUUAUGUUUAUAUUGAUGAUGGGGAGAAAGAGAGAGAGAUAUAAAAUUAGCAGUUAACAGUAGGAUAAAAACAAAAAAGCAGAGAGAGAAACAGCAAAAGGGAGACACACACACAUAUACAGAACCACAUGAUAAGAGAGUAAGGAGUGAGGAAAGAGACCAUUAUGGAGGAAAAUGAAGACUAGAGAUAAGAAACCAAAGGUGAAGGAGAGAUGCAAAGGGAGGAGGUACUUGGGAAGUAUACAAGGAACCAAGCAGUUGGCAGUGGUUAGAGUAUUCUGUUUGGGUUGGGUAUAUGAGAGGGUAUCCCAGCAGAGCUGCCAACUAGCUAUGUUCCUCUGAAGAAGUCACUUUAAUGACUGUGUGCCCAAGUUUUCUCUCCAUCAAAUUUAUGGUUCUAGAUUAUUUUUUAUUAAAUUUUAUUUUGAUAACAAAUUUCCACAUAAGUUUUCCAAAGUCAUAUGAUUCAUAUUGUCCCUCUACCUUCUUCCCUCUCCCUCCUGGAGCAGACAAGCAAUUCAAUCUGGGUUAUACAUGUAUUACCACACAAAACAUCAUGGAUCUCUAUUUGAUGGUGUCUAAUAACACUCUAGCUCUAUGAUCUUCUGGAUUUCAAAGAGAAAAAGGCAUAUCCAUUUGGGAUUAAUCUUAUAAUAGAAGCAGUGUUAGAGAGGAUCAAGCAUGAAGAAUGAGGGACACAUAGGGAAACAUCCAAAGGAAACAGAAGUAUUUCCAGUACAGGAGGAAUAUGGAGAGUAAUAAAGCCUGGUCUCCUAGUAGACUCUGCUUGGAAGUCAUAAUGACAGGAGUUUCAAUCAUAGUUAACAUUCAGAAGAAAUGUUUGACCCUUGGGCAAUUCAAACAGAGUUUGUAGGCCUCCAUUUGCUGUUUUAUUAUAAUGGAAUGGGACUCAAUGGCCCCUAGAGCUGCUUCCAAUUCAAAAUCUAUUAUUAUAUUGAUCAUUGAAUGGGAAUUAGACUGAGGAAAAAAAUUUCAAGGCAGAGAGAAAGAGAGGGAAAGAAAAAGGGAUUAAGACAGAUAGUGAGUGAUAGAGUAAUGGAGACAGACAGAUGAACAGAUGUGCACACAUGCACACACACAACUACAUAAUAGUGAGGAAAAGAGUGUAGGAAUAGAUCAUUUUGGAAGAAAAUGUGGAGUAAUGAUAAGAUCCCAUGAGUGAGGGAGAGGUGGAAAGGAAAGGGACACGUGGCCAGUAUAGAACAAUCAGUAAGGUGUUAUGGUGGUUAGAGUACUCCACUCAGUGUUGACUUUUCCAGUUUGGAAUCUAUGAUUAUAGUCAUAAAGAGAAAGGACAAAUUAGAGUUGGGAGUUAGUGUAAUGGGAAAAAGCUUUUAGGUAAGAGGUAGAGAGGAGGAAGAGAAGGAGAGAGACAGAGAAAGGGUGUGUAUGAGAGAGAGAGACAGAGCACCACAGUAAGAACAUUAUGGAUAGGGAUGAACUGUAGUUGUAGGAGAACACAGGUGAGGAAAGAUAUUUGAAAAUAACGGAUAUUUUAGGAUACUGGAGGAGACAGCUAGGUCUCAUGAUGCAAAGGAACUAAAUUUGGAGUCAAGAAUAUUGUCUUAGAAACCUGACCCACAAUGACAGCUUGUGAUUUUCUGGUCAAUUUAUAUAAUCUCUCUGUCUCACUUUCCUCUUAGGUAGAAAGAAGAGAUUUGACUUGAUGGCCUCUAAGGUUCUCUAGCUCUAUGAUGUAAUGGAUGAAAUGGAGAGUAAAGAAAACUCACUUGGUACUGGAGUGCCAAGAGAAUGAUAGCUUUAGAGAGAAUAUUUGAUUAAGGAGGAAAGAGGCCAGAGACCACUGGGAAUCAGACUUAAGGAUGAUUUAUGGAGGAAUACAAAGUCUCCAUAUUUAUCAAGCAUGUUUGUUGGAAUAUGAUGUGGGUUCAAAUGUUUCCCCACAUAUAUACUUACUAGAUGUAUGACCCUGGACAAGUCACUUCAAGUGUCUAAAUUUUUUAAUAUGCUGCCCUAAAAUGAAAGGGUUGGACAAAGUGAUACUCUGAGUUCCUUCUAGCUCUGAUUCUAUGAUAUUGGUUACAGCAAGAAAAGGAAAAGAUCACUCAUUGAGUGCAAGGGAGAUCAAAGCAAAAGACUUGUGAGUAGACAAGAAAGAGACAGACAGACAGACAGAUAGACUGACUGACAGGCAAAGGGAAGGAAUGUUGAGACCAGGGGAAAGGUUAAAUGAAAGGGAAAGGGUAACUAGGGAUUGGAGGAUAUUGAGUCAGAAAAGUAGGUUUCCAGAAACGGAGUAAUAAUGAGAGACGAGGAGAGAGGCAGAGAUACAAGGAUAGAAAGAGACAGAGCCCAAGUGAGAGAAAACAAGAAAGAACAGUUGACUAGGUGAUAGGCAGGGCAGUGAUUAUAGAGGAUGAUCAGGGACAGUGGUAUUUCCACAAGGUAGAGAGAGCUAGAAAGAGAAGUGAGAAUUUUAUGCAUUUGGAGGUGUCUAGGAGGGAGCUGGUUACUUGUUAUCCCUUGUACUUGAAGAAGGUGAAAAUGACAUCAAUGGUGAUUACUUUGGACCCUUGCAUAAACUGGAUUUAAGGGAGGCACAUCAACCUCUUGCUUCCAGUCUACAGCCUCACUCUAACUUCCAGAGUCAUUGAAAUCCAGUGGCAAGACAAAAUUGUGAGGAAGCUUGCUGAUGGCUUAGAAUGCAGUGGAUAACAUUGGUUUCCAUUACUCCACAUCUCCUGCUUCUGCCAAUUCCAUGGCCACUGUAACUGAUUUUUUUGAUCUGCCCCUUCCACCAUGGAGAAAUCUACACACACCUCAGGUAGACACACCUUUAUCUCACAGAUGUGACUGAAGCCUGUUGGCUACCCUCCAGCCUUGUCUAGGUAGCUUGUUGACACAGUUGACUGAAGCAUAGCUGCUGGGCUUGCUAUAGCUUCUCAGAGCCACAGGUGACAGGUGGGUGGCAGGGAGACACCAAAGGCGGAAAGUAUUCCAGAAAAGGGCAUGACAAGCCCAUCCAGUACAGAGGUGCUAGUACUUCCUGAAAACCCUGUACACUCUGGGAGGCAGCUCAGUGUCUUCUGAUUGAGUAUUCGGGAGUCAGAAUUCCUUGAGUUUGUAUCUGAAAUCAGCUAGGCAAGAGCUGUUUUACUUCAAACAAGACAUUUAAUCUUUCCCAGACAGUUUUCUCUUCUAUAAAAGAUUAGAAUUAUUCUCUAUGACCUCUAAGAUCCCUCCAGUUCUAUGACGCUAUGGAUGAGGGAGAGAAAAGAAAGCCCACUUGGGUCUGGAGUGGAAAGAGAGCCAGAGAUUUAAAGAGGAUAGUUGAUUAAGGAGAGAGGGAUGGAGGGAAGAGAACAUUGGAAAUAGGGUUUCAGCACAGUUCAUGAAGGAAUAUAAAUAAGUCUUAUAAUGCAAUAUUCUUGGAAGUCCAUAAGAACUUAAUUCAAAUGCUUCCUCAUGCACAUUCUUACUAGAUGUGUGCCCCUGGGCAAGUCACUUCAAGUGUCUAAGCUACUUUAUAGUCUUCUCUAUAAUGAUGGCUUUGGACUCAACAACCCUUGGAGUUCCUUCCAUCUUUAAUUCUAUGAUGAUUUUGGUUACAGCAAGAAAAUCCCAAGACUUGUGAGGGAUAGCACAAUAUAGAAGACUUGUGAGGAGAAGAGAGAAACAAUGGGAAGGGCUUGUUGAGACCAAGGGAAAGAUUGAAUGAAAGCAAAAGGAGAGCUGGGGAAGUGGAGACUGAGUCAGAAGGAUAGGUUUCUAGAGACAGAGUGAUAGUGAGAUAGGAAGAGAUGGAUAAGAAGAAGAGAGGAAGGGAAAGUUAAAGUGAGAGAAAGGGAGAAAAGUCAACUAGGUAAUGGCCAGGGUAGUGAGUGUAGAGGAUGGUGAAGGGCAGGGGCAUGUUUCUGAGAGAGACAGAGAGACAGAGAGACAGAGACAGAGACAGAGACAGACAGAGACAGACAGACAGAGACAGACAGAGAGAGACAGAGAGAGAGUUUUACAGAGGAGAAAUGUAUGGAAGGUGACUGGCUGUCCUUCACAUUGGCAGAGAACCAAAAAGUCACUGUUGAUGACCUUUGCCUAGCGCAUAAAUUGGAUUUCAGUGAGGUAGAGUUGUACAAAGUUGUCUGCCUAGCUUUUGGUUCCAGAGUCAUUGUGAAGUCCAGUGGCAAGGCUAAAAUGAAGAUAACUGCAGAUUACCCAGGAUGCAAUGGAUGUCCUUGAUUCUUUGAUGCCUAACCAAGCUCUAAUUGUUCCACAGUCUUAGCUUAAUGUUGCCUCAAUGGCCUUUGGAACAAAUUGUUCUCACCUGCCACUUCUGAAAGAGGGAGAUCUUCACCUGCAUGGGGUAGACACUCAUAUAACUCAGCCAUGAGUUUGAGGUUUAUCUGUUAUUCUCAACCUGGUUUUCAGUCAACCUGCCCAGGUGAUUUACCAGGUUAUGGCCAAUGGUCAUGCUACAGCUUCUUGGAGCCAAAGGUAAGAACUGGUGGGGGGGGGGCAUGUGGGCACUAAAGGAGGAAAGCAACCCUGAAAAGUGCUCACCAAACCCUGACACCAAAGGUACUAGUCAUUCUAGAACAUCAUGUAUACCCCGGGAGACAGAUAAAUGUCGUUUGUUAGUAUACUCUGGUGGGAGCCCAAAUGCUCUUGACUUUGAAUCUGAAAUCAGCUAGUGAAAAGUUGCUUUAGCCCAGGUGAGACACUUAACUUGUCUCAGCCAGUUUUCUCUUCUGUAAAACAAUGGGCCUGGACUCAAUCAGUGGCCUCUGAGAUCCCUCCAGUUGUCUGAUCUUAUGGCUAUGAGGGUGAGAAGAGAAAACACACUUUAGACUGGAGUAAGUAAUAGGUUCAGAGAAUAGCUGAUUAAUGAGGUGGGAGGUAUAGUGGGAGGGGACCACUGGGAAUGGGUUUUGGGAGCAAUUUGUAGAGGGAUAUAACUAAGUCUCAAUGAUUAUAAAGCAGUCUUGUUGGGAGUCCAACUGACUUCAGCUUAAAUGCUUUCUCAUAAAUAUUCUUACCAGAUAUGUAACCAUGAGCAAGUCACUCCAAGUGUCUAAGCCUUUUUUUGUUCUACCCCAAAAUGGAAGAGUUGUACUCGGUGACCCCUAGAAUUCCUUUCUGAUCUGAUUCUAUGCUGAUAUUGGUUAGAGCAAGAGAAGGAAAAGGUAACUUCCCGAAUGUGAGGGAGAGCAAGGCAAAAAAUUUGUGAGGAGAAGAGAGAGACAAAGGGAAGGGGUAUCUGAGGACAGGGGAAAGUUUGAGUGAAAAGAGAAAGGGCAGUGUGGGAAGUAGGGAUGUUGAGUCAGAAGGGAAGAUUUCUAUAUGAACACGGAAAAUAAUUUUUAUAUCUAGUUGUGUUCAAUAGAACAUUACUGAAGAAAAGGAAUGAUCAGAAGCAACAUUGUCUCAUAAAAGAGCCAUAAGUAGUGGAGAGAAAGUAAUGUUAGGAAGAGAUUGGUGAGGAUCACACUGGGUGCCUUCUAGCUUGGAAUAUAUGAUGAUAAACAUGAGACGGGAAAAGGACGAGGCCACUUAUUGGGUGGGAUUCACAUACAGUAAGGAGCUAAAGGGUUUGAGUAAGAAAUUUAGAGGAGGAGGAAGAGAAGGAGGAGGAGGAGUAAGAAGAGGAGGAAAAGGAGGAGAGAGUAAGAGAGAAAUGAAAAAGUGGUAGUGAAAAAGAAUAGAAAACCAGAGGCAGACAAAGCCAGAGAAGCCAAGAUAGUCUCACACUCAGACACACAGAGUAAGCAGUGUGGGGAGAUAACCCAUUCACAUACACACACACAUACAUACACACAUACAGAGGGAAGGAGCUACUUGGGAAUGAGGCUAGAGAGAAUUGUAUAGAAAGGAAAAGUGGACUCUUCUUAGGAGUCAGGAUGGCCUCCAUUAAGUCCUGACACAGAGAUAUUCCUAAUAGCUUGUUGAGUCCAGACAAGCCACUUAAAGUGACUAAGCCUCAGUUUCCUCUGUCAGGACAUCAUAGAAUUGGACUCAGUUGUCCUUAAUGUUCAUUCUAGGUCUACAUCUAUGAUCGUGACCUUGUUAGGAAGGAAAAAAUAGGGCCACUUGUUAUUGGGUAUUAGUGAGAGCAAUGCCAAUAGCUCCUGAGCAGGGGAGAGAGACGAAAUAGCAUUAUGUUAUUUGACAGUAGUAUGGAAAGAAGGAAUGGAAGGGAGAACUAGGGAAUUUGAGGAGAGAGUUAGAAGAGUAUGUGUUCCUUAGCCAAAGAGGAUUGAGAUAGACCAAGGAAGAAAAAGACUCUUGGUCAUGAGCAGGGAAAUAAUGGAAGAGACCAAUAUAGAAGGGAUUGAGAGACACAGAUAAGAGACCCCUAGGGAUGAAGAGGUAGCAAGGGAAGUUAAAUAUUCUGAUAAUGGGUAGUGUGUGGGUGGCACCUCAGCAUGAUAGCAGAUAAACUCUGUGAGUGAGUUAGCCAUUCAUUUAGUCAACAAAUGUUUAUUAAAUCCCCAAAAGGUGCAAGGCCCAUAGUUUAAAUACUAUGAGAAUCUAAAUACAGGGAAGAAUAAAGUAGUUCUUGGUCUCAGGGAGAGGACAUUGCAAUAGAGAAAGUUGCAAAGCAGGCUGAGAGCAGGAAGUGGGUGAGGUACUUGGGAUCCUGGGGCAUGAGACAGAGUUGUCUGUCUUGGGCAUCCCCUUAAGGAGGGACCUGGGAGAAGCAAUGAAAUCAGAGACAAUGUUUUCUGAUUAUGAACUCUUGGACUAAAGACAAAUUCCCUGAUGAACAAUGGUAUGGCAUAGUGGCCAUAUUCUGAGGGCAUGCUGGAACUCAAAGAAGAGCACUGGAAUUGGAGUCAUAGGUAUUUGGUUCUGAGUCCCACUUUAGCCACUGUCCAUCUGAGUUCUCCUGGAGAUAUCAUUUAACUUGUCUCAGCUACCAUUUUCUGUCUUGUAGAAUGAUAGGGCUGGACUUGAUGGCCUCCAAGGUCUCUCCAGAUAUAUAGUCCUUGAAGUGAUAGAGAUAAUAGAAAGGUCUGAGGAUAUGGAAUCAUGUGUGUGUGUGUGUUGGAAUAGGAACCAUAGUCAUUUUGCCACAUCUUGAUUUCCUAAAAAUUUAGAAAUCCUGCAUGGGCUAAUAUUAGAAAAUCCCUUGCCCCUAUGCAAAGAGGAGGGAAAAGUCUCUUCCACUGAUAUAAUAAUGACUCGCUGCCCUUGAAAAUGAAACCAUGCAUUUUUGUCCAAAUUGGCUUCUUUGUAAAUUUUAAUGGGAUUUGGUACCUUCCACUUAUUUCCUGUCCUUGAAUCCAAAAGGAUUCUUGUUUCAGUGAGUCACUAAACAUUUAUUGACCUCCCACUAUGCAUCAGGCAUCAUGUAAACCCUGGAGAUGUAAAGGAAGGUAAAAGAUGGUCUCUCUGCUGUCAGGGAGCUCACAGUCUAAUGGUCAAGACAACAUGUAAAUAGCUAUGUACAAAGAAGAUAUAGACUUGAGGGCUUUGGAUGCACUAUUUCAUCCUGGAGAUCCUGGAGUAUAUUGAGUAGUGGAGUUUCAUGGUAGGACUUGAGCUUUUGGAAGAUCAUUUACAUAGCUAGAUGGAGGAUGGAAUGGAGUAGGAAGGGAGUUGAGGUUGGACGACCAAUAAGAAGGCUAUUUCUUUAGUCUAGGCAUGAUAUGAUGAGAAUCUGCGCCAAAGUGGCUAGUGGAUAGCAUCAUAAGAGAGAGGUGGUAGAUGUUAAGAAGGUAAAAUUGACAGGGCAUGGUUUUCACUGCAAAUAACCCCUUUUUCUCUGGUAGCUAAUCCCCUUCCUUCUUCCUCUCUUGUACAAUGUUUGCCUUUUCCAUUUCAAGCUGAAGAAUGCCACUUAUUGGCUUUGUAUUCUGAGGGCCUAAAAGUUAUGAAACCUAAUUUUUUUCCUGCUCUUCCUGGAUGGUAACCUUCCUUAGCAGGCUAGCUAAUAGGGUUGCUUUCAGUUUGGCUCCCUAUCUUUGACCUAGAGCCACUGGCUUCUGGCUGACUGUUAUGCUUCUCCCAAGAUGCUGAGGGACUUGUCCCACAAUUUGCAUUAGAACGUAGCUGUCUGUGACUCACUUUGGCCUUGUGGAGUGAUGGGACACCUGGGAUUGCUGGAGCGCGCACAAGGUACCCUUUUUACCUCCAUUAACAGCCUCCUGUGGUGCUUUGUCAUCCUCCUACUCAUUGGGUGGUAAGAGUCAGUUUGUCCAAAUUUCUGUGUUCCAAUGGAGAGCAGAGUGAAACACAUCUGAAGUUCAUGAUGGGUUAGUUAUUUGUUGGUUGUGGCUUUACAGGAAGGAGUCCUGUCUUGGAGUAUUGUCUUAGUUAUGAAGCAUUGGCCAUGGCUAGGACAAGCGUCUUGGCACCUACACCUGCUUUCCAAGUUUUCUCUUAGAGAAAUCAGAAUGCAAGGAGACAUCUCCUUUGACUUGUCAGUAAGAGGGCAGGGACUGAGAAAUAUUGGUUUGAAUCUGAUGCUCCUUGACCUGCAGGGAAGUCCUUCCCCAGUGAAAGUGAUAGAAGAAGUCAUUAGGUUGGGUUGCAAGUGUGUAAGAAUGAAGAUGGCCAGUGAUUGUGUGAGUGAAUGUAUGACCUUGAACCUGUCAUAAAGGGAAACCCAUGUAAAGACCUACAAGAGACUUAUGGAUGGAUCUCCUCACAGUGAGAGUUCCUGGUAGUCACUGGUUCCUGAGCUAGCCCAGGGACAAUCUAUGUCUUUUUGUAUAUUAUAUGGAGAAUCCUACUGUCUUUAAAAGUCUCCUAUAGUGCAGCCUCUGGGGUCUGAAGCACCAGUUCAGCCUGUGGGUAGAUUGGGCCAAAUGAGAAACCAACCAAGCCACCCCCACAGUCCUGGAUCAUCUGUUGUCUCAAUGUUUUCCUUUCUCAAUUUCUGUCAGCAGUGGAAGCUGCAGUACUUGGGUUCUUCAUAGAUGAGACUGGCCUCAAUGGUCACUAAAAGAACAUCCACCUCUAAAUAUUUGAUAGAACAGGUGUGAAAGAGUAAAAAAGAUGAAGAUGGAGACAACUGGAGAGUUCAGCCAAAGGGCAAGUAGAGGAGAGGAAGGAGGAAAGAGAAGGAAUGAUGCUGUUUUAGUUUCUUUUCCUACGUGUAGGAAUUGAAGGAAUUGUAUAUAAAUUAUAGUGGUAGUCUCUUGGUGAUCGAGUAUGACUAUGAGAACCAAUUUUUGAGUCAAGUGUUCUUUAUUCAAUAGAUAUUCCAUCAUCUUGUUGUCUUUUCUAGGUUACAACCCUUUAGAAGUGCUGAAAUGGAGGCUUGGUAGCAUUUGCUUAACAACUUCCCCCUAAGCUUUGGAACAUUCUCUUCCUUUCCUGAAGAGUGAAGGAUUGGUGGCUUUAGUUUUUGGAAAGUGAUUUCACUGAGUAAAGGAUUCUCAGUGCUUAAUACAAUUGAAGCUUCUUUACAAGUUUGGUCUCCAGUGAUUUCAAAAGUGGAGAACAAGAAAGCAAUUAUUUUUUAUGGUUUGAAGUCUUGAGGCAUGAUCUAGUUCUUAAGGAAAGCCUAGUAUAUUCUGGCUUGGAAAGAAAGAAUCUUAUUUUAAACAGAAACCAAAAUGGAAUGAGGGAGUACUGAGUUUAAUUUUAGCAGAGUUGUUUAUCUGACUAUUGUGGUCUUCACUGAAUCUGAAUCAUUUAGCAGAAUGUCAUUGCCUAGAGAAAUGAGAAACAGGGGCACCUAAAAGGAAUGAAAAUCGAUGAUGCAUUUUAAGCACUCGAGGAAAGAAUCAAAUUAGAAUCCUUUUGCUUAGUGAAAUGAGAAACUCUGUUAUCCUGUAAGCUUCAAUUCUGAUCAGGGAAUAAUACAGAUGUGCCAUGAUUCUGAGUUGUUUGAGAAAAUUGUAGUAAAUGUGCAGAGGAGAGAGCCAGGGGAUGAGAAGGAAAGCAGCUCUGAAGGUGGUGUGAGACAUGAUUGGGAAGGAGAGAGGGGCAAGACUGAGAAAGGAGCAGUGAAGGAAGGACAGCGAAGCAGUGAAUGAGGUGUGGCGAGGGGCAAUUCUAUGGUUGGCAGGAAUCAGUCUGGUUAAUCUGAGUCAAGAGAGAGAGAGGGAGAAACAGAGAGAGACAGAAUUUUGCCUUCCUAACAUCUUUUGAUUAUGCCUCCUUCUGUCCCCUGACACUGCCAUUAUGAUACUUCCUUAUGACUUGGACCAUUGCAGUAGCUGCUGGUGGGUGUGUCUGCCUCCAGUCUGCCCACUCCAAUCCAUCCUCCUUUCAGCCAUUAAAGUGAUUUUCCUGAAGUGCUGUUCCAGGCUUGUCAGCCUGCCCCUCCUCCACUCAGUGGAUUUCAGUAGCUCUCUAUUGCCACCAGGAGGAAAGAGAAAAUAGUCUCUUUGUAGCUCAAAUCCAGCACAACUGCCCUUCCCCCAUUGCCAGGCUCCUAAUACCAGGCCAGCUCCCUGACUCACUCUGCAAUGCAGGCACGUUGUCAUCCUGCUCUGCCUUGAAUAUGGCACUAGCUUUCAUCAAUGAAUAUUUCUCUGACUUUUCCCCAGGACUCCAAUGCUCUACCUAAUGCUCAGGUUGUAUGAUGGAUAGUCUACUGUACUGGGAAUCAAGACUCUUUGAGUUCCAAUUCUGACUCACACAUUGUCAUCAUCCAUGUUACCUUGGCCAAGUCAGGUAGAAUUAGUCAGCCUCAGUUUCCUGUUUUGUAUAAAGAUGAUCCUGAACAGGAGGGCCUCUAAGGUCCCUGUUAGUCUAAGACCUGGUAGAUGAGAAAGAGAGGGGGAAAAUUCAAGAAAGCCUUCUUGAAAUUAGUAUGUGAUAUAGAGAAUGGGAAGGAAGCCAGCUUGUUUGGUUGUUCUUUGUCCUCAAAGAACACCAGAAUGACAUCAUUGUGUCCACUUGGGUGUAGAAUGUGUCUUACUUUGGUUGAUCAGACCAAUACAAGCUUAAGGUUCUACAAGAGUUCAGGCAGAAGGAGCCCACAUGAACAUUUGGGAUGGACAUGUCUCUAAAUUUGCACAUCUCAGGUUUCUUUGAAGGAAGCUAGCAGUGAGAAAGAGAGAGGGAAGGAACCACUAGACAUGAGGGUUGUGGCAAAUAUGUGACCCUCCUUGUUCUUCUAAAGGCUAGACAUGCUGUCAUGAUGACCUGAGAUCAAUUUCUGCUUCCCAGCAUGCUUACUAGCUGUGUGAUGCUGGGAAAGUCCCAUAAAUUGUCUAAGGUGCUUUCUUCUUCUCUGACAUGAUGGAACUGGACUCAGUAGCCCUUAAGGUUCUUUUCAGCUCUAAAUAUCUAAUCAUAUUGAUGACAGAGAGAAAAUGAAAAGUUCCUUUGCAAUUAGAGGGACAAUAAUACUAAGAGCUUCUGAGAAGCAGAGAGAGUCAAAGAAUAGGAAUUUCUGUGGACAGCUAAGUUUCUCAGUGGCCCAUUGUUGGAAAUCAAGAUAACUUGAGUUCAAAUCCUACUCCCCAUUUUGAAUAAAUAUUUCAAGUUGGGAAAUUCAAUUAGAAUGAUUAAAUCUCUAUUUCUUCAUACAUAUGUAUGUAUAUGUUUGGAUUGGACUCAAUGUCCCCUAAGAUUCCUCCCAGCUCUUACUAUAUGAUCAUAUUAUGUUGGUGAUAGAAAAAGGAAAUAUCUGGUAUUACUGGGUGAGAAUGAGACCAAGGGGUAAAAAGUUUUAGAGCAGAGAAAGAAAAGGACAGAUACAGAAUUACAGAGAGAGAAAGAGAAAAAUAUAUAGAUACAAUCAGAAAGAGCUGGACAGACAAAAAAACAAGAGAUAGAGAUAUAGAAACAGAGAAAUAAUGUAACUGAAAGAGAGGGAACCAUUUGAUAGUAGGCAAGGAAUUGAGAGAUGAGACAUUGUUGUGGACAGUGAGUAAUAGAGUUAGGAACCCACAAUGAAGGAAGAUGGGAAAGAAUGGGGCAAGUGGCCAUUGUAGCACAGGCCAGCUCGUGUUUAGACCAAUAUUAUUAGAGCUCACUGAUAUGAUACAUGAUGCCAUAUAAGCCAUUGGCAAACUCUGUUACUUAACUUCUGUCAGCUUCAAUUUUCUCCUCUUUAUAUUCAUUGAGCUGAACUUGACAGUGUCUGAUGACUCUCCAGCUCUAUGAUCUCUGGGUGCCAGAGAGAGAAAAGGAUGUCCCUUGGGAUUGAGGGAAGAGGAGGGUAAUAGAGGGAAUCAGGCAUUUAGGAUAAGGAGACUGAGAGAAAUACCCACAGAGAAUAGAAGUUUGUGAAGUGGAGGCAGCAUGUAGAGUAAAACUUCUAGUUCUACUAGUAGAGUCUACUUGGAAGACAGAAGGACCUGAGUAGCAGUGCUACUUCAUAUUCUUGCUAAAUGUUUGAGCCUGGGAAAUUGGUUUAGAGAGUCCAAGCCUUAGUUUUCUUAUACUCCUUCUGUUAUACUCUAAUGGAGUUGGACUCAAUGACUCCCAGGAUUCCAUCCAAUUCUAAGCCCAUGUUCAUAUUUUUGAUAUUGAGAAAGAGAAGAAAUUAGUUAAUAUUGGGUAGGGAGGGGAAGAAGGAAAAAAAAGUUGAAGAGUAGAGAGAGAGACCAUUACAAUGAGCAGAGUAGUGAUGUAGGAGGCUAUUGUAGAAGGUUUGGAGUUUAGGAAACCAAAGGCCUCCAAUAAGUACUACACAAAGAUUAUGGAUACUUGGGCCUAGUGAGGGAGUAUAUCUGGGUGUUAUGAUGGAAUGAGAACCAUAUUGGUAGUGAAGCCUUGUUAAAUCUGAGUCCUUAAACAUAGCGCUGAGCUGUUAUCCAAGCCAUUCACACAUCUUCUUUCAUACUAUCUUUUAACCUCUCUUAGUAGAAUUGGAUUCAAUGGCCCCUUAUGUUCAUUCCAACUCUAAAUCUAUGAUCAUAUUGGUGAUAGAGAAAAGGGAAAAAUAUUUUUUAACUUUUUUCUCAAAAUUUUAUUGAUAUUUUCUAUUUGUUACAUCACCACAAAUAGCCCAUGUGUUCCUCCCAGAGCCUUCCCAUAUCACAAGCAGUAUCCUUUUAGAGGGAAAAAGUCUUACAGAGCCUGUGGACCGGGUUGGAGGUAUCUCCUUGUAUCUUGUUAUUUCAGUCUUUAUAAUAGGGUGUAUGGGAUUUUUUUAAGUUUUAGUAACCAGCAACAACAACAACAAAUUUUAAGUAAACUUUCCUUAUUUUUAACAGAUUCUCAAAGGCCAGAAAAAGUCCAUUAUUAUUGGAUGAGAAUGAGAAUAAGAAAGAGGCAGAAAGAUUUAAAGACAGAAUAGGGGAGAGCCAGGGACAGAGAGCUGGAUAUAUAGACAGCAGGAGUGACAGAGUCACAAAAACAGAGACACAUAGAGAAAGAGAACUAUAUAAUAAUGGCAAGGGAGUUAGGAAAGAAUCCAUGUGGGGAAUGAGAGAUAGAAGUAGCAGUAGGUGAGAGAGAUGUGAAAAGGGAUGGGACACCUGAGCAUUAUAGGUGAGGUCAUUAGGUGUCCUAAUGAUUAGAGAAUUAUAUGUGGAAUUGACUAUUGAGUUCCAAUCCCACACUAGCUGCUGACAAGCUGUGUGACCCUGGGAGAAUCACUUAUCAUUGUCAACUGUCCAAUGAUGUUCUAGCCCUUUGGUUUCCAGAUGCUUUGAAAUUGAGGCAGGAGCAGUAUGCUACAGUUAGAGUGAAUAGGGAAUCCAAGAGGAGAGAUAUCCAUAGAUAGGACCAAUGAAGAAAGGGGUGCAAGGGUAAUGUGUGUCAUACAACUUGGUCUCUCAGUGGACUGACCUUGGGCAUAAGGAUGCCCUGAGUUCCAAUAUAUUUAAUAAGUAUUUGAAACUUGGCAAUUCAGUUAGGGUGUCUAAGUCUCUGGCUUCUGUCAUGCUAUAAGAAAAUCUGGUAUACAUGGUGUUCAGGGAAGACCAGUAUCUCUGGUAUGAGGGCUUCUAGAUCCCUUUUCAGGGCUGCUUUCCUCCUUUGGUGCCCACCUGUCACCCAUUUCUCACCUGUGGCUCCAAGAAGCCGUAGUAUGCACAGUGGCUUCAACCACGUAAAUCUUCAUGCAAGGACAAUGAGCAACUAAGUUGGACUUAGUGGAACCUAUGGUUUCUUCUAGCUCUAAAUCUUGUGAAGUGGAAAAUAAAAGGUCAGUGAUUACUGAGCAGAAAUUACAGCAAGAGAAAAAAGAUAUUAAGGGGAAAGGAUGGGGGUGGAGAAGGGAAAGUACUAGGGAAAGAAAGAGACUGAGAAAAAUGUAGAAAGAAAAAGAAAAGGGCUCUUAUUCCUAGGUGGGAAUAGGAGUAGGGAACAGAAGCUUUUGAUGAGGAGGAAAGAGAUGGUCAAAGUGAGAGAAAGAGAGGGGAAAAGAGACAGAAUAAUAGAGCUCAAGUGCAAGGUAGGGGGUGGAGAGAUAGAGAUAGAAAGAAAACAGAGAGAAACAGGAAAACGAAAAGAAAAAGAAACAAACAGAGAAGGCAAGAGGACAGAGACACAGAAAGAGUGGAAUCCAGAAAUUCAGAGAGAAAGAGACCUCCAAGGUAAUGGGAAAGAGAAUGAGGGAAGAGACUAUUGUGAAGGACAGUGUGAAGUCAAGAAAGGAGAACCCAGGUGAGGGAGACAUAGAAAGGGAAGGGACUCUUGGUAAUUGUAGGACAAGCCAGCUAGGUGUCCCAGUGGAUAGAGUAUUCUCCUUUGUGUUUGCUAUUCGAUGUUUAGACCCACCUAACCUGCUUUUACCAUAGUCAGCCUCAGUUUUUCCUCAACAGAAUGAUGGGGCUGGAUUUGAUGGUGUCUAAUGAUACUCUAGCUCAGUGAUGCUCUGUGAAACAGUGAUAGAAAAUGUGGUCCCCUUAAGAUUAAACUAGGAAGAGAGACUUAGAGAAAAUAGGGUGUCAGGGUAGAGAGAGACUCAGAGGAAGAUUUACUGGAAGGGAGGUGGGGUGGGGUAGAAUGAGUGUUUCACAGAGCUAUGUCUCUUAGUGAAUUCUUCUUGGAAGUCAGCAUUACCUGAAUUCAUAUUGUGCCUCACAUGUAUUCCUCUUAGCUCUUUGAUACUGAGAAGGCCACUUAAAUUAUCCAGCCGUCACUUAUCAAACUUAGACUCUAUAGCCCAAAAUGAUUCCCUCCAGCUUUUAAUCUCUGAUAAAGGCAAGAGAAAAGAGUAUAUAUUAUUUAGUGAGAUUAGGAGUAAGCCAGUAGAUUUGAGGAGGGAGAAUCUCGAAGAAGGGAUUUUUUGUAGAGGAAGGACAGGGAAAGUGAAAAUGGAAAGGAGAAGAGGCUUAUGGGACAUGAUAGAAAUAUCAGUUAUUCAAUAAAAUCUGAGAUCUGGCAAAUUGGUCUCAUCACUUUCUGGAAAAUCAGAGAAGAAGCAGGAAUGGAAGCAGCAUCAGAUUUGAUAUUCUUGAGCCCCCAAAUCAACGCAGACAGUGACUACAGCCACAAAAUUAAAAAGACUCUUUCUUGCUCCUUGGAAGGAAAGCUAUGGAAAAUCUGGACAGAAUCCUAAAAAUCUGUGACAUCACCUUGUCCACAAAUGUCUAUAGGGUCAAAGCUAUGGCUUUUCCAGUUUCCAUGUAUGGCUGUGAGAAUUAGAUUCUAAGGAAAGCUGAGGGCUGUAACUUAAUUGCUUUGUUCACAUAAUGAGGAAAUGUCAGUCAUUGGAAAAGUCUCUGGUGUUGGGAAAGAUUGAAGGCAAAAGGAGAAGAGGAUGGUUGAGAAUGAGAUGAAUAGAUGUGUCAUGGAAACAGUAAUCAUGGACUUGGGCAGAUUUUGACAGAUUGGGAAGGAUAGAUGUGCUAUGGUUUAUGUAUUAUGAAGUGGUGGACACGAUUGAAAAACAAAACAGUGAAAUUUCCUUCCAGCUCAAUGUGCCUUUGAAGGACAAAAGGAAAAGAACUCCCUUGUAAUUCUGGAGAGAGGAGAAAAAAGUAGAGGAGAGGCAUAAAGAGAAAAGACAACUGAGAAUAGGGCCUGUUUUAGGGAUAAAUAGUCAGUUCUCCCAGGGGACCAAAGAACCAGAAGGGAAGCCACAGAAAGAGAGAAAGAGAGAAAAAGAAACACUUGAUAAUGGGGAAAGAAAUUUGAGAAGAGUACAUUGUGAAGGAUAGUAUGUAGUAGAGGAAAGAGACAACUGGUGAGGGAGAAAUGUAAAGGAAAGGGACAUCUGGGAAGUUUGCAGGGCAAGCCACCUAGGUGUCCAAAUGUGUAGAGCUUUCUAGUUGGAGUUGACUAUUGGAGUUUCAAUAUGACUACGUGGACUGCUGACAAACUGUGUUACUCUGAAGAAGUCACUUCACCAUUGUCAGCCUCAGUUUCCUGUUUGGAAUAAUUAUGGUACUGCCCUUGAUGGUAUCUAAUGAUGCCAAAGUUCUGUAAUCUCUGGAGUGUCAUUUAAUGCCAUUAGGGACUUUAAUGGAAGAAGAGAGAGUUAAUAGGAAUAGGGUAUCAAAGAGGGGAGAGAUAAAAAAAGAGAAAGUUGGGAAGUAUAUACAUGUUUUGGAUCUAUGUCCCUGAGUUUGAAAUCUUCUUGACCUAAGGUCAAAUCCUAAUUCACAUCCUUUAUUAUUAUUACUUAAAACAGGGCAAUUCAUUUAGAGAGUCAAGACUCUGUUUUUUCUUUUGUCAUUAAAUGGAGCUGGACUCAGUGACCCUUAAGGUUCAUACUAGCUCUAAAUAUAUGACCAUAUUGUUUAUAAAGCAAAAAAGAUAAUAUCAUAUAUUUUAGGAUGGGAAUGAGAGUACAGCAGAACUUUGAGAAACAGGGUAAAUAGGGGAGGGAAGAAUGGAGAGAGGAAGAGAGCAAGAGAGAGUUAGUAUACCUCUAGGCUGAAGAAGGUAGUGAGGGAAGAGACCAGCAUCAAAUAUUUCAAGUAUAGGAGGCUAUAGCUAUAAUUUGAGUGAUGUGUGAUACUCAGAAGUAAGGCUUACUUGGUAUAGAGGGGAGAAAAGUUCAGGUGUUAUAGCAUAUAGAGGGCUACAUUUAUAAUGUAGGCUAUUUAAAUUUGAAUCCAGAUCCACACUGACAUGAUGUGCUAGUCUGGGCAGUUCCCAUAAGCUCUCUUAGAAUUAAGUUUUCUUCUCUCUGAACUGUGGAUGCUGGAGCUCAUUUCCUCUAAUAUUCUUCUGUAUCUAUGAUCCUAUGGGUGCCAGUGAGAAUAAGGAAAGCCCCUAUGUGUUUGGAGAGGAGGAAGAGAGAUAGUAUUAGGGAAAAUAGGGUCUGAGUGAGGAGAGAGCCACUGAGAAGGGAUCACUCCAAGGGCAGGUGUAUGGAAUGUGUGCUUCAGAGAGCUGGAUCUCUUAGUGGAUUGUUCCUGCAAGUCAGGAUUACUUGAGAUCAAAGGUGCCUCAGACACAUUCCUGUUAGCUCUUUGUUGCUGGGAAAGUCACUUAAACCAUUCAAGUCUCACUUUCCUUUGCUCUACAGUGUUGGGGCUGGACUACAUAUACUCUUUCUAACUUCUAAUCUAUGUUAAUGUGAAAUAAAGAGCAAGAGAAAAGAGUGUAUAUUAUUCAUUGGGAUUAAGAAUAAUAUAGCAGGUUUUGAGGAGGGCAGAGAGAUAGCAAGAAGGAAUUUUUGUAGAGCAGGGACAGGGAAAGAGGAAAAGGAAGGGAGAAGAGGCUUGUGGGACAUGACAGAAAUGUAGCUGUAGAGAAUCAAAGAGAGAAAGGAAGGCAAAGCUGGAUUGAGAGCGAGUGUGAGAGAAGUUAGAAAUAAAGGUUCAGAAUCAGCCAUAAAUGACCUCUUGGUCAUUGGCAUGGGAGUGUGGAAGAAACCACAGUAUAAGGAGGUGAGAGAAAGAGGUUGAGGAGCAAAGGUGUGGUGGAGUGAGUGAAAGAUACUUCUGUUAUAUAGAUUGGGAGAGAGGUAGCUAAGGUCAUAGUGUAUUGAGUCAGUCAGUUAUUCAUUCAACAAGCAUUGAUCCAGAUUAUUAUAUGUCCCAGGAAGUAUAUUACUCCAUGGGUAUACAAGUAUAAGGAAUAGAAAAAGCCCUGUCCUCAAGAAGAAAUAUCCUAGUGUCAGAUGAAUAAAGGAAGCUGAAAGUGAGCAUGGUCCUGGGGAGAAGGGUAGCCAAUGUAGAGAUAAGAUGAAGAUGUGAGUGUAUAUUGGGAAGAAAUGAAGAGAUGGGUGGCAUGGGUGGCAUGGGUGGUUCUGGGAGUAGUCAUCCCUUCAGAGAGAGAAAGAUGUCCUAGGAUCUGAUGGUGGUGCUUCUGAGCUGUGGUUUCCAGGUUUCAAGAUUCCUUUCAAGAAGAACUGGUCUCUGGGGCAUGAUGGAGAAGUCCAGAGAGUUGAAGAGUAGAAUUUGGAAUCAUACCUGCAUGAGUUCAAAUCCCACCUCAGACACCAUGAAGCACCUUCCUGAUUGGGGGAACUCGAUGCGCCUGUGAGGCUCCCGAAGAUGCUCCCGCUCCCAGUGGCAUAUUCCGUGAAGAUGAUUCAAAGUCUGAAAAUGAUUCUUCUCAUCGAAAGAAAGAGAAAAGUGUAUGAAGGAAGAGCAGGAAGUUCUGAUCACCUCUGCUAAGUGAAAUUAGAAUCGAGUAGUUUAACCUUCUUUCUGUCAUCCAUUGAAACUGUCCCAUCUACCUGGAGCAGUAUUUUAUAAGUGUUCCAGUGCAGUCUGCAAAAUGUCAGAUUCCAAGAGAGCAGAAAACCUCUUCAUUUCUAGAGAAUUCCUCCUCAUUUUGGAGCCUGUGUAGGAUCUCCCGUUAAGAGGUGUCAACCUUUGUCUUGAAGACUGCUUUGGAUGCAUCUCUCAAAUUCAGUCAUCAAUGUCCAGUGGCAAGGGAAAAGACAAGAGGAUGGUGAUCGCCUGGGAUGCCGUGGAUGACUUUCACAUCUUCAAUGUUUGACCAAGUUCUAAAUGCUCUAUUUCACCUGCUUCAGCCACCUGUAUGGUCACUGAAGUACCCAGGUCUUAUCCUCCCAUUCCCUGGGCUGUGGGCAGAAAGUGACAGAUCAAAUACUAUAGAUAGUAUAAGAUUUAGAGUAGGAUUUAGAAAGAUUUGAGUUUGAAUUCUGAUUCACAAACCUUUUAGGUAUGCAACCCUAUAAGUCACUUAUACUUUCUAAACCUCAGGUUCUUCAGGCUCUAAAAUGUUGGGAAUGGACUCAGUGGCUCAUAAUAAUCCUUGCACUUUCAAAUUCAUGAUUAUAUUGGUGAUGGAGAGAGAAGAAAAGGCUAUUUAGUAUUUGGGUAGAAGGAAAGCAACUGUGAGAGAGUAAAAUAUCUUCUAAGGAAGGAGGGAAUAAAGGGAGAAAAGAAUAGAGAGAAUGAGAGGGCAGGGUAAGAGAGAAAAAAACAAAGAAGAUGGAGAGAGAGAGAGAGAGAGAGAGAGAGAGAGAGAGAGAGAGAGAGAGAGAGAGAGAGAGAGAGAGAGAGAGAGAGAGUAUGAGCAUUAUGGAGCAAGAUUAAUAAUUGAAAUAGAAGACCAGAGGUGAGAGAGAUAUUCUUAGGUAAAGGAAAACUGAGACAAGUAGGAGGCGGCAGGUGGGUCUCAUAAUGGAAAGAGAGUUGAACUUCGAGUCAAGACAUUUGUGUUAAAAACCUAAGCCACAAUGACAAGAUGUGUUUCUCUUGGUAAUUCAUAUAGCCUCUCUCAGCGUCACUUUCUUCUUCUGUAAAAGUAUGGGACUGAACUCCAUAGCUUCAUUACUGAUGACUUUUGACUCCUUCAUAAAUUGGAUUUAAAGGAGGCAUGGUUAUGCAAAGACAUCUGCUUCACCCUAGUUUCUAGAGUUGUUGAGUUCCUGCAAGAAGAGAAAGAUCAAGACAGUGGUGAUUGCCCUGGAGCCAGUGGAUGACCUUCACUUCUUCAGUGUUUAACCAAGCUUGAAACAAUGCACAAUACCAGAUUCUGCUGCUGCUAUGACUGUUGAAACAAUUUGCACUUAUCCUCCACUUCCACCUGGGGAAGUUUUCACAUGCCUGGAGUUGACAUUCCCCUAAAGUACUGAUGGGUUUGAGUUCCAUUGGUUAUGCUCCAUCUGGUUUAGCUAGCCUGCUGAGACAAUUCACUGGAUUAAGGAUGCUGGGAAUCCUAAAGCUUCUGAGAGGCAUAGGUGAAAGCUAGAUGUCAGAUGAGCACCAUGCAAGCAAAGCAUUCUGGAAAAGGGAUGAGCAAACCCAUCAGAGUACAGAGGUACCAGUUUUCCCUGAACAGCUUGUUCACCCUGGGAGGCAGAUAAUUGUCAUUUGGUAGAGUUCUCUGGUUGGAGUCAGAUUUCCCUUGGGUUGGGAUCUAGAAUCAGCUAAUGAAAAGUUGUUUUAGUCUAGGUGGGACACUUAACUUGUCUCAGCCACAGUUUUCUAUAAAACAAUGGGCCUGGACUCAGUGGGUCUAGCUGUCUGAUCCUAUGGAUGUGAGGAUGAGAAAAGAAAGCCCACCUGGGAUUUUAGAGUGGGAGGAGAAUAAUAGGUUUAAAGAGAAUAGUUGAUUAAUUAGGAGGGUGUUAUGUAGGGAAGGAACCCCUGCAAAUGGUAUUGAGGGACAGUUUAUCAAAGGAUACAACUAAAGCUCUAUGUUUAUAAAGCAUGGUUGCUAGGAAUCCAUAAGACUUUAGUUCAAAUGCUUUCUCAUAAACAUUCUUCUGUGUGACCCUGGGCAAGUCACUUCAAAUAUCUAAGCCUUUCUUGUUCUGCCCUAAAAUGAUAGAGUUUGACUCAACAAUUCCUUCCUUCCCACUCUAAUUCUGUCCUGUUGCUGGUUACAGCAAGAAAAAAGGUGACUUACUGAAUGUGAGGGAGAGCAAGACCAAGGACUUGUGAGAAGAAGAGAGACACAAAGGGAAGGGCUUGCUCAGGCCAGUGAAAGGUUGAGUGAAAGGGAAAGGACAGGUGGGGAUGUGGGGAUGUUGAGUCAGAAGUAUGGAUUUCCAGGGAAAGAAUUAUAGUGAGAGACAGGGAGAGACAUAGAGGGAUAGAAAGAGACAGACAGAGAAAGUGAGAGAGAGAACAAGGAAGAAAAAUUGACUAGAUAAUGUGGCAGGGCAGUGAUUGCAGAAGAUGGAGAGGGACAGGUAUGCUUCCAAAAGGGAGAGAGAGCUAGAAAGGGAAGUGAGAGUUUUGUGUAUUGGAGGUACCGUGGUUGGUUGUUGUCCUUUCUACUUGAAGAGGACCAAAUUAACAUCUGGGGUUAUUCCUUUUGAUUGGUGCAUAAAUUGGGUUUAAGUGUGGUGCUGUUGUGCCAAGAGGUUGGCUUCACUCUCCCAGUAUCAUCAGAGUCCAAUGGCAAGAUGACUUUUGUCAGAAUGAUUGUUGAUGACCCAGAUUGCAGUGGAUGACCUUGGGUCCUUCCAAGUUUCAUUACCCAACUCUGAUUGCUCCACAUCACCUGCUUCUACCAACUCCAUGGCCAUUGGAACAAAUUGUUCUCAUCUGCCCCUUUGACAGGCAUGCCUGGGGUAGGCAACCCCCUAACUGAUUAAUGAGUUUGGGGCUUGUUGGUUACCCUCAAACUGGCUGUUAGCCAGCUUGCCAAGAGGCUUUACCAACUUGUGACUUCUUCUCAUGCUCCAGCUUCUUGGAGCAACAGGUGGUACCUGAGUGUCAGUGGGCACUAAGGAGGAAAGCAGCCUGGAAACGUGCUCCACAACCCUCUCACCAGAGGUAGUAUUAGUGUUUCUGAACACCCUCUAUGGGAGGUAUCUCUGUGUCAUUUGACAGGGUACUCUGGUUGGAGUCAGAACUCUUUGAGUUUUUAACUGAACUCAGCUAGUUGAAAGUUAUUUCACCACAGGUGAGGCACUUAACUUGUCUCAGCCAUACUUUUCUCUUCUGCAAAAGAAUUGGCCUGGACUCCAUGGCCUCUAGGGUUCCUCCAGAUCUCUGAUCUAAUGGAUGAGAGGAAGAGAUAACAAAGUCCACAUGGGAUAGGAGUGGGAGGAGAGUUAUAGGUUUAGAGGGAAUAGUAGAUUAAUGAGGAGUGAGAUCUAGAGUGAGGUGACCAUUGGGAAUGGGUUUUCCAGGGAAAUUGUGAAGUGGUCCAGCUAAGUCUUCAUUUUUAUAAAGCACUUUUUCCAUUUUUAUAAAGUUGGGAUUCCUCAUUACCUGAGUCCAAUGCUCCCUCACAAACAUUCUUACUAGAUGUGUGACCCUGGGAAAUACUCUUCAAGUGUUUAAGCCUUUUUAUAGUCUGCCUUAAAAUGAUAUGGUUGGGCAGAAUGACCCCUAGAGUUCUUCCCAGUUCUAAUUAAUUCUAUGACGAUUUUGGUUGGAGCAAAGAAAGAAAAAGGCCACUUACUGAAUGUAAGGGAGAAUUAUUGAAUGUGCGGGAGAGCAAGGCAAGAGUCUUGUGAAGAAAAGAGAGAGACAAAGGGAAGGACUUGCUGAGGCCAGAGGAAACGUUGAGUGAAAGGGAAAGGUUAGCUGGGCAUAUGGGGAUGUUGAGUCAGAAGGGCAGGUUUCCAAAUAAAUGCAAACUUGCUUUUACAUGAAGUUGAAAAAAAUAAAAUAUUACAUAAGAAAAAAGAUUAGGGGCAAAAUUGUCACAUAAAAGGGCAAUAAGUUAUUGAGAGAAAGGGGAGUUAAAAAAAAAGAUGGGUGAGAAACUCACUGGGUACCUUCUAACUAGAAAUCUAUGAAUCAUGAGAAGGGAAAAAGAAAAGGCCAGUUAUUAUUGGGUGGGAUUUACAGUAAGGAGAUAAAGGGUUAAAUAGGAAAUAGAGAGGGAGGGAGGGAGAUAGAACAUUGCCUUCUAAGGAUUGGAUGAGUGAGGAAAGAGACCCUUUCAGAGGGAAACUCAGAGAAGAGAGUCUAUAGGUGAGGGAAAAAUGCAAAGAGAAGAGACACAUGGCAAGUGUAGAGCAAGCCUGCUUGGUGUCAUAGUGAUUAGAGCUUCUACUUAGAGUUGGCUCAUUGGGCUUAAAUCCAACCUCAGCAGUUGACAAGAUACAUUUCUCUGGAGAAGUAUUCCCACUGUCAGCUAAAUUUUCUCCUCACUAUAUUUAUUGGGCUGGAUUUGAUAGUUUCUAAUGAAUGUCCAGUUCUGUGAUCCUGUGGGUGCCAGAGAGAGAGAAAAAAAGGAUGUCCACUUAGUAGUAAGCUUAGAGUAGAAAUGAUAGUUAGGGAGAAAUCAGGGAUUAAGGAUGAGAAGAAGAGAGAGGGAAGCAUCCACAGGAAAUGGAAGUGUGUGGAUUGAGGGGAAGUGAGGGAUUGAGGGAGACCAGAACUGCUAGAUAUCCUAGUAUACUCCUCUUGGAAGUCAGAAUAACCCGAGUUCAAGUCUUAUACCACAUUCCUAAAAAGUGUUUGACUCUGGUAAUUUAUUUUGAGUGUCUAACCCUCUAUUACAAUAUAAUGGAGUUGGAUUCAGGGGCCCCUAGAGCUCUUUUCACCUCUAAAUCUUUCAUCAUGUUGAUGAUUGGGAGCAAAAGGAAAGACUAGUUAUCACUGAGUGGGAAUUAAAACAAGGAAAAAAGCAUUUGAGGAGGAGAUAAAGAGGAGAGGGAAAAGGAGGGAUUGAGAGAUUUAAAUGCAGAAAGAAAGAAAUCUAGAAAUGCACAUAGACAGAUAAACACAUACAUUCAGAAACACACAAAGUAAAGGAACUCCUUCGGAAUUAUGCUUCAGAAAAUAAUACAGAAUGCAAAUGUUUGACUUGUAGUGGACUUUUCUUAGAACUCAGGAUGACUCCAGUUAAAAUCCUGCCUCACAGACAUUCUUAAUAACUUGUUGAGUCCAGGCAAAUCACUUAAAGUGUCUAAGCCUCAGUUUCAUCUUUGAUAUAAUUGAAUUUAACUAAAUUGUCCUUAAUGUUCCCUCUAGGUCUAAAUCUAAUCAGAAUCUUGUUAGAAAGGGGAAAAGUAGGGUCAUUUGUUAUUGUGUAGGAGUGAGAGCAGUGCAAAUGGUUCCUGAGUAUGGGGGAGAAAUGGGGGAGUAUGACAGUUGACAAUGGAAUGGAGAAAAGGAAUGGAAGGGAGAACUAGGGAAUUUGAGGAGAGAGUUAGAAGAAUAUGUGUCCCUUAGCCAAAGAGGAUUGAGAUAGCUCAAGGAAGAAAAAGACUCUUGGUCAUGAGCAGGGAAAUAAUGGAAGAGACCAAUAUAGAAGGGAUUGAGAGACACAGAUAAGAGAGCCCUAGGGAUGAAGAGGUAGCAAGGGAAGUUAAGUAUUCUGAUAAUGGGUAGUGUGUGGGUAGCACCUCAGCAUGAUAGGAGAUGAACUCAGUGAGUGAGUUAGCCAUUCAUUUAGUCAACAGGUAUUUAUUAAGACCCAACUAGGUGCAAGGCCCAUAGUUUAAAAACUAUGGGAAUCUAAAUACAAGGGAAGAACAAAGUAGUCCUGGGUCUCAAGGAGAGGACAUUUCAAUAGAGAAAGCUGCAAAGUGGGCUGAGAGCAGGAAGUGGGUAAGGCACUUGGGAUCCUGGGGCAUGAGAUAGAGUUGUCUGUCUUGGGCAUCCCCUUAAGGGAGGACCUGGGAGAAGCAAUGAAAUUAGAGCCAAUGUUUUCUGAUGUAUGAAUUCUUGGACUGAAUAUAUAUUCCCUGAAGAACAAUAGCAUGGCAUAGUGGGCAUGUUCUGAGGGCGUGCUGGGAAUCAAAGAAGAGGACUAGAUUUGAAGUCAUAGGUACAUGGUACUGAGUCCUACUUUAGCCAUUGCCAAGCUGAGUUCUCCUGGAGAUGUCAUUUAACUUGUCUCAGCUACCAUUUUCUGUCCUAUAGAAUAAUGGGGUUGGACUUGAUGGCCUCUAAGGUCUCUCCAGCUUUAUAGUCCUCUAAGUGAUAGAGGGAAAAGAAAGCUCUGAGGAUAUGGAAUCACGUGUGUGUGUUGGAAUAGGAACCACAAUCAUUUUGCCACAUCUUGAUUUCCUAAAAAUUUAGAAAUCAUGCAACCACCUCAUGGACUAAUAUUAGAAAAUUCUUUGCCCCUAUGCAAAGAGGAGGGAAAAGUCUCCUCUGCUGAUAUAACAAUGACUCACUGCCCUUGAAAAAGAAACCAUGCAUUUUUGCCGAAACUGGCUUCUUUGUCAAUUUUAAUAGUAUUUGGUGCCUUCCACUUAUGUCCUGUCCUUGGAUACAAAAAGUAUUCUUGUUUCAGUGAGUCACUAAACAUUUAUUGACCUCCCACUAUGUGUCAGACAUCAUGUAAACCCUGGAGAUGUAAAGGAAGGUAGAAGAUGAUCUCUUUGCUGUCAGGGAGCUCACAGUCUAAUGGUCAAAACAACAAGCAAACACCUAUGUGUAAAGAAGAUAUAGACUUAAGGGUUCUGGAUGUGCCCCGAAUCAUCCUGGAAAUCCUGAAAUGUAUUGAGUAGUGGAAUUUCAUGGUAGGACUUGAGCUUUUGGAACAUGAUUUGGAAAGCUAGAUGCAGGAUGGAAUGGAGUAGGGAGAGAGUUGAGGCAGGAGGCCCAGUAAGAAGGCUAUUUCUUUAGUCUAGGCAUGAUAUGAUGAGAAGCUGCACCAAAGUGGUUGGUGACAACAUCAUAAGAGAGAGAUGGCAGAUGUUAAGAAGGUAAAACUGACAGGGCAUGGCACCAAAGAAUAAAUUCUUUGGUUUUCACUGCAAAUAGCCCCUUUUUUCUCCAGUAACUAAUCCCCUUCCUUCCCUCUCUCUCUGGUGCAGUAUUUGCAUUUUCCAUCUCAAGCUGUAGAAUGCCACUUAUUGGCUUUGUAUUCUGAGAGCCUGAAAGUUAUGAAACUCAAAUUUGUUCCUGCUCUUCCUGGAUGGCAAACUUCCUUAGCAGGCUAGUUAAUAGGGUUGCUUUCUGUUUGGCUUCCUAUCUUUGACCUAGAGCUUCUGGCUGACUGGUUUGCUUCUCCCAAGAGGCUGAGGGAAUUUUCCUACAAUUUGGGUUAGAAGGUAGCUGUCUGUGACUCACUUUGGGCUGGUGGAGUGAUGGGACACCUGGGAUUGCUGGAGCGCGCACAAGGUACCCUUUUUACCUCCAUUAACAGCCUCCCAUGGUGCUUUGUCAUCCUCCUACUCAUUGGGUGGUAAGAGUAAGUUUGUCCAAAUUUCAGUGUUCCAAUGGAGAGCAGAGUGAAAACACACCUGAAUGUUAAGAAGCUUCAGUUGUCUGUUGGUUGUGGCUUUACAGGAAGGACACUUCUGUCUUGGAGAAUUGUCUUAGCUAUGAAGCAUUAACCAAGACUAGGAGUAGCCAUCCUGGCACCUACACCUACUUUCCUAGUUUUCUCUUAGGGAAGGCAGAAAGUAAGGUGACCCUCCUUUGAUUGGUCAGUAAGAGGGCACGGCCUGAGAGAUGUUGGUCUGAAUCUGAUGCUCCUUGACCUGGAGGGAAAUCCUUCCCCAGUGAAAGUGACAGAAGAAGCCAUUAGGUGGUUUGCAAGUGUGUAAGAAUGAAGAUGGCCAGUGAUUGUGUGAGUGAAUGUAUGACCUUGAACCUGUCAUGAAAGGAAACCCUUGUAAAGAACUGCAGGAGGCCUGUAGUUGGAUCUCCUCACAGUGAGAGUUCCUGAGAAUCACUGAUUCCUGAGCUAGCCCAGGGACAAUCUAUGUCUUUUUGUAUAUUAUAUGGAGAAUCCUACUGUCUUUAAAUGUCUCCUAUAGUGCAGCCUCUGGGCUCUGAAGCACCAGUUCAGCCUGUGGUUAGAUUGGACCAAAUGGAAACCAGCCAUGCCACCCCCACAGUCCUGGAUCAUCUCUUACCUCAAUGUUUUCCUUUCUCAAUUUCUGUUAUGCCUAUUGAGAAAGGACUUUGGAACUAAGGGAAUAGAUCUUGUGUCCUGAGACUUGAGGAGAGAGUGAGCAGCGUUGUUUGUACUUGUUUGUUCUGUGUAAAUAGAGAGACUAUGCUGUCAACAUUUUCUCUUAUUUUGUGUCUUUGGAAAGACAGCUGAUCUUUUUCCUAUGGUUUGAUCUGCCAAAGGGGAAAGGGUGAAAAAAGUGGGAGCUUUUCACUAAUUUCCCUUUAUUCCUAAUUCUGGCCAAAGUAGGAAUACAGGAGAAACAGGCAGGCAGAUAGACAAGCAGACUGUCUCAGACCCAGAGAGAGAUAGGGGCCAAAGAUUCUUUUGCCAUUAGUAGAAAUUUAUGGAAUGGCACAUCAAUUAUAUAAUGAAUUUCUGAGUGGUGUCAUCUCUUUAUUGUAUGUUACUAAGUUGUGAUGUCACUAUAGCUUGUAUAUUCUUACAUAUGCUGCAGUAUCUUAUUGGCUUUUUGAAGAACGAGUUCUCCAGAAGUAUAAUCACAUAUUAGCUCUGUGUUCUUGGAUAAGUCAGUUAACCUCUUCCUACUCCAGUUUCCUCAACUGUGUUCUAGGAAUUUUCAUAGGAGUUACACCACAGUGAAUUUCUCUGGAUAAAAUAUUAAAUUUGUCUUUUAUGUGGCAUAGCCUCUGGAAAAUACUAGAAUUUUAAUAAAUAUAUAUUUUCCUUCCUUCCUCCCUUACAUGAAAGUAUGGAAGUCAAUGGGUUCUAAGGAUCCAUUGAAGUUUGGAGCAAUGAUUUUUUUCCAUUGAAAAAAAGUGAUGCACACCUCUCAGAUUCUGAGAGGUAACAGAGGAGAAGGAAAUGAAUAAAAUGGAUAGAGGAAAAAGAUCAAUCUGAAGGGAAGUAUCAUUAGAUAGUUCCAGAGCAAGGUCUAAUGCUUGGUAGAGAGACAAACAGAGAUGGAGAUACAGGGAGAGGAAAAGAGACAAAGCUUGUCUCUUUUCCUUGGCUAGAGGGCGAACUCAGAGGCUAAGACAGUAAAGUUUCAUAACAGUGGUGGAAUGAUAAAGGUGGGAAAGGGUGAAACAGUUCCUCAUUCAACAGACAGCCAAAGUCAAGGUGGAAAGAUCAGUGUUGUCUUCAUCAGGCCUGAGGUUGGAUCCCUUCUCAGUAAUGGAGAAGGGGUUUUUUCCUUUGCCAGUCAGUCAGUGUGCCUCAGCUGUAGCUUUGUCUUCCAUAAAAUGGUAUUGGGGCCUUCUUUCCUGCAAUGAUGUCACAAUUCUAGGGUCUUGUGAAGGAAAGAGGUGUUGGUGGACUUUGGGUACCAAAUUCACCCUAUCCCUUAAAGCAUUCUCUUCCUUUCCAGGAGAGUGAAGGAUUGAUGACUUUAAUGUCAGGAAAUUUAUUUCACUAAGUGGGAGAUUCUCAGUCCUUGAUAUAAUUGAAGCUUGUCUUCAAUAUUUGUCUUUAGUGAUUCCAAAUGUGGAGGAAAACCUAAGGAAAAUAUUUUUGCAGUUUUAAGUUUUACAAUGAAUUUGAGGUAGAUGAGAAAAUUAUCCUAAAUUAACAAAAGAGAUUUAGUGGAUGACAAAGAAAGUAGCCCCAAAGAGUGUGUAAAACAGGAUUAGGAAGGAGGGGGGGGGGCAAGAUUGAGAAAGUAGCAA
Monodelphis domestica (gray short-tailed opossum) is the source of this 52611-nucleotide non-coding RNA. The record is from RefSeq and is a predicted model, not a curated record. Lineage: Eukaryota; Metazoa; Chordata; Mammalia; Didelphimorphia; Didelphidae.